This 50710-nucleotide long non-coding RNA is filed under the name Triticum aestivum (bread wheat). RNAcentral's name for it is "long non-coding RNA (TAES_LNC027441)". The record is from RNAcentral. Lineage: Eukaryota; Viridiplantae; Streptophyta; Magnoliopsida; Poales; Poaceae.
CCUCCCCAAAUUAGCUCAAAGCUGGGGAGAACAAAAAUACAAGAAAAAUGAGAAACAGAGCUGUAGUCGGUUGGGGUACUUCCAAGUUGCAACAGCUACCUAAAGAAAUCUGAAUUGCUUCUGGUUACCAUAGUGAUAUGAUUAUAUUCCAAAAACAGUAAAGGCAAUCGUAAAGAGGAACUACACUUAGACAAUUAACAAAAGAUACAAAACAGAACCGCCUCCAAACAGAUCUAUAUCAGAUACCAAUAGAUUGUAUGCAGAUUACUGAUAAGAACACAAUCACAAGGUUCACCGACCAUGUCUUUAAAUGAUAAAUAAGCAACAAAACACUAGUCUUCAUGCAUUAGAAGAUCCAACAUACUAAGAGAACAUUUCAACUUUUGUGCUUCUGCCCAACAAAAAUACCAGCAUCCACCACAGCCCAAUCACAUGAACAGGUUCGGCCUCGUCGCCUUGUAGGUGGUCUUCAGCUUCCUGGUUGGUGGCCUGACCUUUUGGUACACAAGGGGGAACUUGAUCUUGGAGUUGUGGAACUGCUUGGUGUUGUCUCUCUUGCAUAGCUUGAAGUUGACAGUCGCGGUCUUGAUGAUCUGAAUGCAGGGGGAUCUCACACGGUGGCGAGAGGCCAUCUCAGUGUACAUCUGCUCCACGGCACCAUUCAGUGUGGUGUCACGGUACUCCUUGUACAUGUUGUGGUAGCCGGUUCUGCUCUGGUAACGCAGCCAAAUGCCAUAGUUCUUGAUCGUGGUUGGGUUCUUCUCAAAGAUCUGACAAAAAAGGAGUAUUUCAGUGCAAAAAUAACAAUCACAUGCCAUAAUUGGGUAAAAAGAAUCAGUGGAAAAAUCAGGUUCCAAUUGGUUCCCAAACCAAGAAACUAUGGAUUAACACCAGCCGACCACAACAUACACGUCACACAAUUAGAAAAAGGAAAAUCAUAAAUCAGAAAGUAUACGUGCCCGCAUAAUCAAGAAAUCUAGAGACAACUCAUAUGGGUCGGUCCAAGUCCUUGUUGUGAAUACAAAUUAGAUUAUGCAAAACAGAACCUUCGCACAUCAGAAUGAAGUAUCAGAAGUAAUUGAUGCAUAGAUAAUGUAAAUACAACUACUACAGGUACAUGUUUUCGCAAGAAAAUCACAUACAUCAUGAUCACAACAAGAUGGAAGGGGCAUCACUGCAUAUUCAAACACAACUAGAAUGAUUUUAUGUUGCAUUCCGGUUAAUUAACGCCACAGAUAGUACAGAUAAAACUACCGAUGCAGUUGUAAGAGUGGAUGGAUAAAAGGAGCUAAUUAAGCCGCUCUCGGUUGGUAAUUGUAAUGUACAGGAAAGAACCAGAAGGUGGAACAUAAUCCAAGCUCAUGGCAAAACAUAAAUCGAGAAAGGCCCAAUACCUCGUUGAUGGCGAGCAUCUGGCCGUUGCUCUUCUUCACCUUCUUCAGCUUCCUCAGGAAAUACCUGCACAGACGCGACAACAGCCAUAAGGAAUACCGAAUCGAAGACGAACAGAUCCUUCAGAUGUCCCGAGGAGACGGGGAGGAGCUCACCAGAACUUGCUCUUGGCGCGCACCUCAUUGGUGGCCCAGAGCUUCAUGCGGUAGAUCUUAGGCUGCUCAUCGCCGGGCGUCGGCAGCGCGCGACCCACCACCUGGUACUGAUGGAACUGCACACGCACGGACGCAUCGAGACGAAUCAAAAACACGGAUAAAGCGCGGACACGGAGGGGUCAAGGAUAGCAACGGCCGGGAGGCAGCACUGGAACUUACCCUGAAGGCCACCAUUUCCGCGAGCUCUGCGAAGCCCCUAGCCUAACCUAACCUAAGCAGAUGGGGAGGGCAGGAGGCGGCGGGCGAAGGAGGCGUCCGUGAGAGGGAGAGAAGCGUUUAUAGGUGGCGAGCUUGGCUGUAAACCCUAAUGGGCUUUCUCCGUGUCGUGGGCCUAUUCUUAUAGCUUGUGGGCCUAUUGUUGCGCUCUUUAUCAUAGAGGUCCGGGAUCGAAAGUGCCUUUCUGCUCCCGAGCUCAUUUGAGCUCGGUGAACAGUAAAAUCAAAAAAAAUCAAAAAAAAUAAAAAAUUCCAAUUUUUUUUGGGAGAAACAUUGACAAAAGUUCUAAGUGCUUGCAAAAAUUCAUCAUGAAAUCACAUUCCUGUAAAGCGUGGCAAAAAAAAACAAAUUCAAUGCUCCAAAAUGCUUUUGAAAGUAGCUUUUUCAGAGUACUGAUUUUGUUUUUUGCCACGCCUUCUAGAAAUGUGAUUUCAUGGCGAAUUUUUGCAAGCACUUAGAACUUUUGUCAAUGUUUCUCCCAAAAAAAUUUGGAUUUUUUUAAAUUUUUUUUGAUUUAGUUUUGAUUUUACUGUUCACCCGAGCUCAUUUGAGCUCGGGUGCAGAAACUCCGCGUCCGUCCGGGAUGUGCUUUUCGUCCAAAAAACUAAUUGAAAGUACCCUAAAAAAACUAAUUGAGGGUACUCCUUCUAAAAAUCACUUCCACCUCCUCAGGUUGCGACAAGUGGCGUGACUUGUUGCAACAUGUGAGUUUUUCCUUUCUUUCUAAAUUCGUUUAUCCAAAAUGUUUUAUCUCUUAAAUCAUGCUCAAAUCUCAACCCGUUUUCAUCGUUGAAUUCCUCGCGUCAAGAUCUCAAAACUAGAUCCCAUGUUAAUAGGUUUUGACCAAAAAAUCAUGAAAAAAACGAACAAAAAACUAGAAAAAACGAACCAAGAGCACUUUUUUCCCUUUCCGGAAGAGGCACGACCGCGCCUCUUGUGGAAGCAAAUCUGUGUCUCUCGCGAAAGCAAACCUGUGCCUCUCGCGGAAGCAAAUAUGUGCCUCUCGCGAAAAAAAGAAGACGCGGUUUUCGUUUUUGUGAGGCACGGUCAUGUCUCUUGCGGAAAGAAAAAAAUAAAACGCAUUUUUUUCCGUUCCAAGAGGCACGGCCGUGCCUCUCUCAGAAGCAAAUCCAUACUUCUCGUGCAAGAAAAAAAAAGAAAACAUGUAUCUUUUCCGUUUCCAAGAGAUACGACGGUGCCUCUCGCAAAAGCAGAGUCGUGCCUCCUGAGGAAGCAAAUCUGUUGGGGAUAUAACUAUUAGGUAUGACCCGCCCAGGAGGGGCCGGGUUAUACCUAUGACAAUUCAAGAUAUGAAGCCCAAGACGACAAUUGAAGAUGGUGGUUUAGUUAAGGGCCCAAAGCUCAAAGGCGACUCAAGGCCCGUAGAGAUAAACCGUCAUAUGUAUGUAAGUUGUAUUGUAAGGCAGGAAUAGACAGAGAUAGAGCCGGACACUGUUUAUGAGCCUGUCGGGACUCGGAGAGCCGCUGGGCGUCGACCUCUGUAUAUAAAGGGACGACCCGGCGGCGGUUCAGCGCAAGUAACAUCAGAUCGAGAACUAGGUCAAGCGGAUUCGCUCCCUGGUAAUCGAGACAUAAGUAAUCCCACCUCAAACUGGAUUAAGCCAUUACCUUCACCGCAAGGGGCCAAACCAGUACAAACUCCGUGUCCUUUGUCUCGUUUUAACCCCUUUAAAGCUUCCUAGUUGCGAUGGCUCCACGACUAAGUCCUUUCACUAGGACAUCUGUCGUCACAAUUCCACGACAGUUGGCGCCCAUCGUGGGGGCAGCGCACGGUGGAUUUGAGUUCUUGAAGGGCAGCUUCGAAGGGCUCAAGGAAUACGAUGUGGGCCAGAUGACCAAGAGUCGUCGCGGCAAGCUCUACACCGACGAUGCAGGCUGGGGCCCCGACGCCGGCUCAAUUGAGUACGGGUACCGGGUCCCCUUCGGUGGAAUCCACGUCUUCAUCGGCAAGAUUGGCGGGCUGGGCCCUGAACCGGACGUCUGCACCGACAUCAUCGAGACGGCUCAGCGUGCGAGACUCGCCCGAGCUCAGCCCGCCGUGAAGCGUGCCUUCGUGGGAUGCAUCCAUGGAGGGGAAUUUUCUGAAGGAUCUGUGUCCGGCGGUGAGACGGCCAUCUACUCUGAUGGUGAGUCAUCCACGGGUGAGACGGAUUCGUUGUAUCAAUGGCAAGAUGGCGGGCUUGGGGGUUGUUCCGAUGGCAGCAGUAUUCCGGACCCCUUUGAGCCGCCGAGAAGAGUUGGGAUCUUCAUGGCUGGCACACAACCCGGGCAAAACUCUACGGCUGCAGCGGCGAUGACCUCCGGGUCAGCAGCGGUGGCGGCAGGUGGGGCAGGAGGCCCUGCACGCCCACCGGCUCAGGUUCUGAUGGCUUUGAUGGAUAAGAUGACAGCUCUGUUAACCGCCAUGGUCAAUCCGACGGAUCAAGCUCAACAUGAUGCAGAAGUGGCACAGCUACGUGAGGAGGUAGCACAAGCCAAGGAAAACUUGCCAGCAGAGGACAUCAGGAUGGCCGCAGAGCGGGCGGCUUUGGAUGCUCGGGCCCAGCAGAUUCAAUCAGAGGCUCUUCAGCUUAUGAUGGAUCUGAACGCAUCAAAUGAGGUCAUGAGGAGAAGGCACCAGAAGGCUCAAUCCCGUCUGCCUCCAGUUUAUGAUCCUAGAAACCUCUUUCGCACACUCGGCGUAGGGCCCAGUAACCCGCCAGAGGUAAACCGGGUUGCAACGCCCGGGGCUAGGACGCCGGUUCAGCCACGUGUGACAGAACCCCCUCAUCUGAAUACUACUCCACCUCACUAUGUACCAACACCACCGGGUCAUUACUCUAACCCUCUAGAGAACAUGAUCGCUGCGGCGACACGAUUGGCGACUCUCCCGAUGGAUGGUGACUCUCCGACGGUAGUUGAAACACAAAGGGUCAGAGAACUUCUUCAGACAGAUUUGGCGCAGCAGGAGGCAUACUCUUAUAGUCGAGAUAGGAUUCAUUCGACCCCUCGCCCAAGCCGGAGCCUGAGCUAUAGCAGACACAUGGAUUCAGCAGUCAUUUCAAGCAACACCCGGCGCCGUGACCAGCCGCACGGGCAUGACCCGGUGCGUGAUGGAGUUCCUAACUUGGUUGAUCAGGACAGGAUACAUCAAGAGGCUGAGCGGGCGGUUCAGCAGGCGGCUCAGUGGGCGGCUUACCAGUCUUUUCCGGUUUAUCCGACGACUUCAAUUGAGGCAAGCAUGACCACUAGGACUGGAGGUGUGCCCUGUUUGGUGCCGCCUCUGCAUAAUGAGCAUUUGCCCAAAGAUUUCAAAGGACCUCGAAAGGUGCCUAAUUACACGGUUGACUUACAACCGGGGGCAUGGAUCGAAAGCUACGAGAUGGCCAUGGAACUUCUGGAAGGCAGCGACCCUACAAUGGCCAAGUAUUUCACCAUGAUGCUGGAUGGGACAACCCGUACUUGGUUGAAGGGGCUCCCACCUAACUCCAUCGGUUCAUGGGCAGAAUUGAAGACCCGGUUCAUUCAGAACUUUAAGGAUACAUACAAGGAGCCCAUGUCGAUUGUGGACUUGACUAAUUGCAAGCAAGAGGAGGGUGAAUCCACGACCCGUUGGGUGCGUUGGGUCAAGGCCAUAAUACAUUCAUCUCAUAAGAUGGAGGCCGGCUCUGCAGUCUUAAUGUUGGAGAAAAAUUGUCGUUUUGAGCCUCUGAAAAGAAGCUGGGGUGGCUCAAGGGUGACUGUAAUGACAUGGGCCAGUUGAUGGCGGCUCUAGUCAAAUAUGCCGACUCUGAUAGUACCAAGGAUCUCGAGUCUGACGAAGAGAAGGAAGGGAAGGGAAAGAAGAGCGGCAACGCCAAAGGUCCUCAGCAUAACCCGGCAAAUCAAGGAGGCAAUAAUAAAUGUAAGGCUGGCGGUAGCUCAGAGUUUGUGGCUAACACCAAUGCACAGGGCAACAAUCAACGACGUGAGGGGAGACCACCUUCUCGGUCCGACGGGUCAGGUCCCACUCUUGAGCAGUUGCUAAAUGAACCCUGUCCAAGGCAUGGUACUCAGCAGAAGCCGGCCACUUACCUGUGGAAGGAUUGUGCGAUCAUGAAGGCUUUCAAGAAUUCUAACAUGUUUGACGACAAUCAUGGAUCGGGCGGCGGCUCAGGCGGCGGCGGGUUUCAUGGCCAGGGUGGUGGUUCUAAUUCCAAUUUUCAAGGCCCUCAAGGUAACCAGGGCGGUUAUAAUCAGCAAUCUAGCCAGGGAGGUCAGCAACAGUAGUCUGGAUAUCAGAGUAAUCCAAAGCAGCUAAAUAGUGGACAAUAUCAUGUGUUUACCACCAGCUUGUGCAAAUGGGACCAGAAACUUCAUAAGAGGGUUGUGAAUACUACUCCACCUCACUAUGUACCAACACCACCGGGUCAUUACUCUAACCCUCUGGAGAACAUGAUCGCUACAGUGACACGAUUGGCGGCUCUCCCGGUGGAUGGCGACUCUCCGACGAUAGUUGAAACACGAAGGGUCAGAGAACUUCUUCAGACGGCUUUGGCGCAGCAGGAGGCAUACUCUUAUAGUCGAGAUAGGAUUCAUUCGACCCCUCACCCAAGCCGGAGCCCCGAGCUAUAGCACACACAUGGAUUCAUCAGUCGUUUCAAGCAACGCCUGGCGCCGUGACCAGCCGCACAGGCAUGACCCGGUGCGUGAUGGAGUUCCUAACUUGGUUGAUCAGGACGAGAUACGUCAAGAGGCUGAGCAGGCGGUUCAGCAGGCGGCUGAGCAGGCGGCUCAGCGGGCGGCUUACCAGUCUUUUCCGGUUUAUCCGACGACUUCAAUUGAGGUAGGCGUGACCACUAGGACUGGAGGUGUGCCCUGUUUGGUGCCGCCUCUGCGUAAUGAGCGUUUGCACAAAGAUUUCAAAGGACCUCGGAAGGUGCCUAAUUACACGGCCGACUUACAACCGAGGGCAUGGAUCGAAAGCUACGAGAUGACCAUGGAACUUCUGGAAAUGAGCGACGCUGCAAUGGCCAAGUACUUCGCCAUGAUGUUGGAUGGGACAGCCCGUACUUGGUUGAAGGGGCUCCCACCUAACUCUGUCGGUUCAUGGGCAGAAUUGAAGGCCCGGUUCAUUCAGAACUUUAAGGAUACAUGCAAGCAGCCCAUGUCGAUUUGUGGACUUGACUAAUUGCAAGCAAGACAAGGGUGAAUCCAUGACCCAUUGGGUGCGCCGGGUCAAGGCCAUAAUACAUUCAUCUGAUAAGAUGGAUGCCGGCUCUGCAGUCCUAAUGUUGGAGAAAAAUUGCCAUUUUGAGCCUCUGAAAAAAAGUUGGGGUGGCUCAAGCGCGACUGUAAUGACAUGGGCCAGCUGAUGGUGGCUCUAGUCAAAUAUGACGACUCUAAUAGUACCAAGGAUCCCGAGUCUGACAAAGAGAAGGCAGGGAAGGGAAAGAAGAGCGGCAACGCCAAGGGUCCUCAGCAUAACCCGGCAAAUCAAGGAGGCAAUAAUAAACGUAAGGCUGGCGGUAGCUCGGAGUUUGUGGCUAACACAAAUGCACAGGGCAACAAUCAAGAACGUGAGGGAAGACCACCUCCUCGGUCCGGCGGGUCAGGUCCCAAUAUUGAGCAGUCGCUAAAUGAACCCUAUCCAAGGCAUGAUACUCAUCAGAAGCCGACCACUUACCAGUGGAAGGAUUGUGCGAUCAUGAAGGCUUUCAAGAAUUCUAACAUGUUUGAUGACAAUCAUGGACUGGGCGGAGGCUCAAGCGGCGGCGGGUUUCAUGGCCCGGGUGGUGGUUCUAAUUCCAAUUUUCAAGGCCCUCAAGGUAAUCAGGGCGGUUAUAAUCAGCAAUCUGGCCAGGGAGGUCAGCAGCAGCUGUCUGGAUAUCAGAGUAAUCCAAAGCAGCUGAAUAGUGGACAAUAUUAUGUGUUUACUGAAGGAAAUAUGCCCUAGAGGCAAUAAUAAAGUUAUUAUUUAUUUCCUUAUUUCAUGAUAAAUGUUUAUUAUUCAUGCUAGAAUUGUAUUAACUGGAGACAUAAUACAUGUGUGAAUACAUGGACAAACAUAGUGUCACUAGUAUGCCUCUACUUGACUAGCUCGUUGAUCAAAGAUGGUUUUGUUUCCUAACCAUAGACAUGAGUUGUCAUUUGAUUAACAGGAUCACAUUAUUAGGAGAAUGAUGUGAUUGACUUGACCCAUUCUGUUAGCUUAGCACUUGAUCGUUUAGUAUGUUGCUAUUGCUUUUUUCAUGACUUAUACAUGUUCCUACAACUAUGAGAUUAUGCAACUCCCGUUUAUCGGAGGAACACUUUGUGUGCUACCAAACGUCACAACGUAACUGGGUGAUUAUAAAGGAGCUCUACAGGUGUCUCCAAAGGUACAAGUUGAGUUGGCAUAUUUCGAGAUUAGGUUUUGUCACUCUUAUUGUCAGAGAGGUAUCUCUGGGCCCUCUCGGUAAUGCACAUCACUAUAAGCCUUGCAAGCAAUGUGACUAAUGAGUUAGUUGCGGGAUGAUGCAUUACAUAACGAGUAAAGAGACUUGCCGGUAACGAGAUUGAACUAGGUAUUGAGAUACCGACGAUCGAAUCUCGGGCAAGUAACAUACCGAUGACAAAGGGAACAACGUAUAUUGUUAUGCGGUUUGACCGAUAAAGAUCUUCGUAGAAUAUGUAGGAGCCAAUAUGAGCAUCCAGGUUCCGCUAUUGGUUAUUGACCGGAAACUGUUCUAGGUCAUGUCUACAUAGUUCUCGAACCCGUAGGGUCCGCACGCUUAAUGUUACGAUGACAGUUAUAUUAUGGGUUUAUUGUUUUUGAUGUACCGAAGGUUGUUCGGAGUCCCGGAUGUGAUCACGGACAUGACGAGGAGUCUCGAAAUGGUCGAGACAUAAACAUUGAUAUAUUGGAAGCCUAUAUUUGGAUAUCGGAAUCGUUCUGGGUGAAAUCGGGAUUUUACCAGAGUACCGGGGGGUUACCGGACCCCCCUGGGGGUUAAUGGGCCUACAUGGGCCCUAAGGGAGAAGAGGAGGGCCGGCCAGGGCAGGCCGCGCCCCCUCCCCCCUAGUCCGAAUAGGACAAGGAAGGGGGGGCGCCCCCCUUUCCUCUUUCCCCCUUCCCCAUUCCUUCUCCAACAAGGCAAGAGGGGGAGUCCUACUCCCGGUGGGAGUAGGACUCCUCCAGGCGCACCCCUAGGGGCCGGCCGCACCUCCCCCCUCCCUCCUUUAUAUAUAGGGGGGAGGAGGGCACCCCAUAACACACAAGUUGAUCUUCAUGAUCAUUCCUUAGCCGUGUGCGAUGCCCCCCUCCACCAUAUUCCACCUCGGUCAUAUCGUAGCGGUGCCUAGGCGAAGCCCUACGUCGGUAGAACAUCAUCAUCGUCACCACACCGUCGUGCUGAUGAAACUCUUCCCCGACACCCUGCUGGAUCGGAGUCUAGGGAUCGUCAUCGAGUUGAACGUGUGCUGAACUCGGAGGUGCCGUACGUUCGGUACUUGGAUCGGUCGGAUCGUGAAGACGUACGAAUACAUCAACUGCGUUGAUCUAACGCUUCCGCUUUCGGUCUACGAGGGUACGUGGACAACACUCUCCCCUCUUGUUGCUAUGCAUCACCAUGAUCCUUGCGUGUACGUAGGAAAUUUUUGAAAUUACUAUGUUCCCCAACAGUGGCAUCAGAGCCAGGUUUUAUGCGUAGAUGUCAUAUGCAUGAGUAGAACACAAGUGAGUUGUGGGCGAUAUAAGUCAUACUGCUUACCAGCAUGUCAUACUUUGGUUCAGCGGCAUUGUGAGAUGAAGCGGCCCGGACCGACAUUACGCGUACGCUUACGCGAGACUGGUUUCACCGCCACGAGCACUAGUUGCUUAAAGGUGACUGGCGGGUGUUUGUCUCUCUCACUUUAGUUGAACCGAGUGUGGCUACGCCCGAUCCUUGCGAAGGUUAAAACAACACCAAAUUGACAAACUGUCGUUGUGGUUUUGAUGCGUAGGUAAGAACGGUUCUUGCUAAGCCCGUAGCAGCCAUGUAAAAUUUGCAACAACAAAGUAGAGGACGUCUAACUUGUUUUUGCAGGGCAUGAUGUGAUGUGAUAUGGUCAAGACGUGAUGCUAUAUUUUAUUGUAUGAGAUGAUCAUGUUUUGUAACCGAGUUAUUGGCAACUGGCAGGAGCCAUAUGGUUGUCGCUUUAUUGUAUGAAAUACAAACGCCCUGUAAUUGCUUUACUUUAUCACUAAGCGGUAGCGAUAGUCGUAGAAGCAAUAGAUGGUGUAACGACAACGAUGCUAUGAUGGAGAUCAAGGUGUCGCGCCGGUGACGAUGGUGAUCACGACGGUGCUUCGGAGAUGGAGAUCACAAGCAUAAGAUGAUGAUGGCCAUAUCAUAUCACUUAUAUUGAUUGCAUGUGAUGUUUGUCCUUUAUGCAUCUUAUCUUGCUUUGAUUGACGGUAGCAUUUUAAGAUGAUCUCUCACUAAUUAUCAAGAAGUGUUCUCCCUGAGUAUGCACCGUUGUGAAAGUUCUUCGUGCUGAGACACCACGUGAUGAUCGGGUGCGAUAGGCUCUACGUUCAAAUACAACGGGUGCAAAACAGUUGCACACGCGGAAUACUCAGGUUAAACUUGACGAGCCUAGCAUAUACAGAUAUGGCCUCGGAACACAGAGACCGAAAGGUCGAACAUGAAUCAUAUAGUAGAUAUGAUCAACAUAGUGAUGUUCACCAUUGAAACUACUCCAUCUCACGUGAUGAUCGGACAUGGUUUAGUUGAUUUGGAUCACGUGAUCACUUAGAUGACUAGAGAGAUGUCUGUCUAAGUGGGAGUUCUUAAGUAAUAUGAUUAAUUGAACUUAAAUUUAUCAUGAACUUAGUCCUGGAAGUAUUUUGCAAAUUAUGUUGUAGAUCAGUAGCUUGCAUUGUUGCUUUCAUAUGUUUAUUUUGAUAUGUUCCUAGAGAAAAUUGUGUUGAAAGAUGUUAGUAGCAAUGAUGCGGAUUGGAUCCGUGAUCUGAGGUUUAUCCUCAUUGCUGCACAGAAGAAUUAUGUCCUUAAUGCACCGCUAGGUGACAGACCUAUUGCAGGAGCAGAUGCAGACAUUAUGAACGUUUGGCUAGCUCAAUAUGAUGACUACUUGAUAGUUUAGUGCACCAUGCUUAACGGCUUAGAAUCGGGACUUCGAAGACGUUUUGAACGUCAUGGACCAUAUGAGAUGUUCCAGGAGUUGAAGUUAAUAUUUCAAGCAAAUACCCGAGUUGAGAGAUAUGAAGUCUCCAACAAGUUCUAUGGCUAAAAGAUGGAGGAGAAUCGCUCAACUAGUGAGCAUGUGCUCAGAUUGUCUGGGUACUACAAUCGCUUGAAUCAAGUGGGAGUUAAUUUUCCAAAUAAGAUAGUGAUUGACAGAGUUCUCUAGUCACUAUCACCAAGUUAGUAGAACUUUGUGAUGAACUAUAGUAUGCAAGGGAUGACGAAAACGAUUCCCGAGCUCUUCGUGAUGUUGAAAUCGACGAAGGUAGAAAUCAAGAAAGAGCAUCAAGUGUUGAUGGUUAACAAGAUCACUAGUUUCAAGAAAAGGGCAAAGGGAAAGAAAGGGGACUUCAAGUAGAAUGACAAGCAAGUUGUCACUCCCACGAAGAAGCCCAAAGCUGGACCAAAGCCUGAAACUGAGUGCUUACACUGCAAAGGAAAUGGUCACUGGAAGCGGAAAUGCCCUGAAUAUUUGGUGGAUAAGAAGGAUGGCAGAGUGAACAAGGGUAUAUUUGACAUACAAGUUAUUGAUGUGUACCUUACUAGUGUUUAUAGUAGCCCCUGAGUAUUUGAUACUUGUUCGGUUGCUAAAAAUUAGUAACUUGAAACAGGAGUUACAGAAUAAAUAGAGACUAGUUGAGGGUGAAGUGACGAUGUGUGUUGGAAGUGGUUCCAAGAUUGAUAUGAUCAUCAUCGCACACUCUCUGUACUUUCAGGAUUAGUGUUAAAACUAAAUAAAUGUUAUUUGGCGUUUGCGUUGAGCAUGAAUAUGAUUUGAUCAUGUUUAUUGCAAUACGGUUAUUCAUUUAAAAUCAGAGAAUAAUUGUUGUUCUAUUUACAUGAAUAAAACCUUUAAAUGGUCAUACACCCAACGAAAGUAGUUUGUUGGAUCUCGAUCGUAGUGAUACACAUAUUCAUAAUAUUGAUGCCAAAAGAUGCAAAGUUAAUAAUGAUAGUGCAACUUACUUGUGGCACUUCCGUUUGGGUCAUAUCGGUGUAAAGCGCAUGAAGAAACUCCAUAAAGAUGGAUUUUCGGAAUCAUUUGGUUAUGAAUCAUUUGAUGCUUGUGAACCGUGCCUUUUGGGCAAGAUGACUAAAACUCCGUUCUCCGGAACAAUGGAACGAGCUACUGACUUAUUGGAAAUAAUACAUACCGAUGUAUGCGAUCCGAUGAGUGUUAAGGCUCGCGGCGGGUAUCGUUAUUUUCUGACCUUCACAGAUUAUUUGAGCAGAUAUGGGUAUAUCUACUUGAUGAAACAUAAGUUUGAAACAUUUGAAAAGUUCAAAGAAUUUCUGAGUGAAGUGGAAAAUCAUCGUAACAAGAAAAUAAAAUUUUCUGCGAUUUGAUCGCGGAGACAAAUAUUUGAGUUACGAGUUUGGUCUUCAAUUAAAACAAUGUGGAAUAGUUUCACAAACUCAUGCCACCUGGAACACCACAGCUUAAUGGUGUGUCCGAACAUCAUAACUGCACUUUAUUUGAUAUGGUGCGAUCAAUGAUGUCUCUUACCGAUUUACCAAUAUUGUUUUGGGGUUAUGCAUUAGAGAUAGUUGCAUUCAUGUUUAAAUAGGGCACCAUCAAAAUCCGUUUGAGACGACGCCUUAUGAACUGUGGUUUGGCAAGAAACCAAAGUUGUCGUUUCUUAAAGUUUGGGACUGCGAUGCUUAUGUGAAAAAGUUUCAACCUGAUAAGCUCGAACCCAAAUCGGAGAAGUGCGUCUUCAUAGAAUACCCAAAGGAAACUGUUGGGUACACCUUCUAUCACAGAUCCGAAAGCAAAAUCUUUGUUGCUAAGAAUUGAUCCUUUCUAGAGAAGGAGUUUCUCUCGAAAGAAGUGAGUGGGAGGAAAGUAGAACUUGAUGAGGUAAUUGUACCUUCUCCCAAAUUGGAAAGUUGUUCAUCACAGAAAUCAGUUCCAGUGAUUGCUACACCAAUUAGUGAGGAAGCUAAUGAUGAUGAUCAUGAAACUUCAGAUCAAGUUACUACAAAACCUCGUAGGUCUUCCAAAGUACAGUCUGCACCAGAGUGGUACGGUAAUCCUGUUCUGGAAGUCAUGUUACUAGACCAUGAUGAACCUACGAACUAUGAGGAAGCGAUGAUGAGCCCAGAUUCCGCGAAAUGGCUUGAGGCCAUGAAAUCUGAGAUGGGAUCCAUGUAUGAGAACAAAGUGUGGACUUUUGUGGAGUUGCCUGAUGAUCGACAAGCCAUAUUGUAUAAAUGGAUCUUCAAGAGGAAGAUAGAUGCUGAUAGUAGUGUUACUAUCUACAAAGCUCGACUUGUCACAAAAAGGUUUUCGACAAGUUCAAGGUGUUGACUACAAUGAGAUUUUCUCAACUGUAGCGAUGCUUAAGUCUGUCCGAAUCAUGUUAGCAAUUGCCACAUUUUAUGAAAUCUGGCAAAAGGAUGUCAAAACUGCAUUCCUUAAUGGUUUUCUUAAAGAAGAGUUGUAUAUGAUGCAACCAGAAGGUUUUGUCAAUCCUAAAGGUGCUAACAAAAUGAGCAAGCUCCAGCGAUCCAUCUAUGGACUGGUGCAAGCGUCUCAGAGUUGGAAUAUACGCUUUGAUAAGUUGAUCAAAGCAUAUAGUUUUAUACAGACUUGCGGUGAAGCCUGUAUUUACAAUAAAGUGAGUGGGAGCACUACCGCCUUUCUGAUAAAUAUAUGUGAGUAACAUAUUGUUGAUAAAAAAUGAUGUAGAAUUUUUUUGGAAAGCAUAAAGGAGUAUUUGAAAGGAGUUCUUUAAAAGAAAGACCUCAGUAAAGCUACUUACAUAUUGAGCAUCAAAAUCUAUUGAGAUAGAUCAAGACGCUUGAUAAGUUUUUCAAUAAGUACAUACCUUGUCAAGAUUUUGAAGUAGUUCAAAAUGGAACAGUCAAAGAAAGAGUUCUUGCCUGUGUUGCAAAGGUGUGAAAUUGAGUAAGACUCAAAUCUCGACCACGGCAGAAAAUAGAAAAAAGAGAAUGAAAGUCACCUAUGCCUCAGUCAUAGGUUCUAUAAAGUAUGCUAUGCUAUGUACCAGACCUAUUGUAUACCUUGUUCUGAAUUUGGUAAGGGAAUACAAUAGUGAUCUAGGAGUAGAUCACUGGACAUUGGUCAAGAAUAUCCUUAGUGAGGACUAAGGAAAUAUUUCUCGAUAAUGGAAGUGAUAAAAGAGCUCGUCGUAAAAAGUUACAACGAUGCAAGCUUUUACACCAAUCCAGAUGACUCUAAGUCUCAAUCUAGAUACAUAUUGAAAGUGGGAGCAAUUAGGUAGAGUAGCUCCGUGCAGAGCAUUGUAGACAUAGAAUACUUGCAAAAUACAUAUGGCUCUGAAUGUGACAGACCCGUUGACUAAGCUUCUCUCACGAGCAAAACAUGAUCACACCUCAGUACUCUUUGGGUGUUAAUCACAUAGUUAUGAAUAUUGGUGUUAAAUCACAUGGCGAUGUGAACUAGAUUAUUGACUCUAGUGCAAGUGGGAGACUGAAGGAAAUAUGCCCUAGAGGCAAUAAUAAAGUUAUUAUUUAUUUCCUUAUUUCAUGAUAAAUGUUUAUUAUUCAUGCUAGAAUUGUAUUAACCGGAAACAUAAUACAUGUGUGAAUACAUAGACAAACAUAGUGUCACUAGUAUGCCUCUACUUGACUAGCUCGUUGAUCAAAGAUGGUUUUGUUUCCUAACCAUAGACAUGAGUUGUCAUUUUAUUAACUGGAUCACAUUAUUAGGAGAAUGAUGUAAUUGACUUGACCCAUUCCGUUAGCUUAGCACUUGAUCAUUUAGUAUGUUGCUAUUGCUUUCUUCAUGACUUAUACAUGUUCCUACAACUAUGAGAUUAUGCAACUCCCGUUUAUCGGAGGAACACUUUGUGUGCUACCAAACAUCACAACGUAACUGGGUGAUUAUAAAGGAGCUCUACAGGUGUCUCCAAAGGUACAUGUUGAGUUGGCGUAUUUCGAGAUUAGGUUUUGUCACUCCGAUUGUCGGAGAGGUAUCUCUGGGCCCUCUCGGUAAUGCACAUCACUAUAAGCCUUGCAAGCAAUGUGAAUAAUGAGUUAGUUGCGGGAUGAUGCAUUACAUAAUGAGUAAAGAGACUUGUCGGUAACGAGAUUGAACUAGGUAUUGAGAUACCGACGAUCGAAUCUCGGGCAAGUAACAUACCGAUGACAAAGGGAACAACAUAUAUUGUUAUGCGGUUUGACCGAUAAAGAUCUUCGUAGAAUAUGUAGGAGCCAAUAUGAGCAUCCAGGUUCCGCUAUUGGUUAUUGACCAGAAACUGUUCUAGGUCAUGUCUACAUAGUUCUCGAACCCGUAGGGUCCGCACGCUUAACGUUACGAUGACAAUUAUAUUAUGAAUUUAUAGUUUUUGAUGUACCAAAAGUUGUUCGGAGUCCUGGAUGUGAUCACAGACAUGACGAGGAGUCUCGAAAUGGUCGAGACAUAAAGAUUGAUAUAUUGGAAGCCUAUAUUUGGAUAUCGGAAUCGUUCCGGGUGAAAUCGGGAUUUUACCGGAGUACCGGGGGGUUACCGGAACCCCCCCGGGGGUUAAUGGGCCUACAUGGGCCCUAAGGGAGAAGAGGAGGGCCGGCCAGGGCAGGCCGUGCGCCCCCUCGCCCCUAGUCUGAAUAGGACAAGGAAGGGGGGGGGGGGCGCCCCCCUUUCCUCUUUCCCCCUUCCCCCUUCCUUCUCCAACAUGGCAAGAGGGGGGAGUCCUACUCCCGGUGGGAGUAGGACUCCUCCGGGCGCACCCCUAGGGGCCGGCCGCACCUCCCCCUCCCUCCUUUAUAUAUGGGGGCAGGGGGCACCCCAUAACACACAAGUUGAUCUUCAUGAUCGUUCCUUAGCCGUGUGUGGUGCCCCCUCCACCAUAUUCCACCUCGGUCAUAUCGUAGCGGUGCUUAGGCGAAGCCCUGCGUUGGUAGAACAUCAUCAUCGUCACCACGCCAUCGUGCUGACGAAACUCUUCCCGGACACCCUGCUGGAUCGGAGUCCGGGGAUCGUCAUCGAGCUGAACGUGUGCUGAACUCGGAGGUGUCAUAUGUUCGGUACUUGGAUCGGUCGCAUCAUGAAGACGUACGACUACAUCAACCACGUUGAUCUAACGCUUCCGCUUUUGGUCUACGAGGGUACGUGGACAACACUCUCCCCUCUCGUUGCUAUGCAUCACCAUGAUCCUUGCGUGUACGUAGGAAAUUUUUGAAAUUACUACGUUCCCCAACAUUUACCACCAGCUUGUGCAAAUGGGACCAGAAACUUCAUAAGAGGGUUGUGAAUACUCCACCGGGUCAUUACUCUAACCCUCUGGAGAACAUGAUCACUACAAUGACACGAUUAGCGGCUCUCCCGGUGGAUGGCGACUCUCCGACGGCAGUUGAAACACGAAGGGUCAGAGAACUUCUUCAGACGGCUUUGGCGCAGCAGGAGGCAUACUCUUAUAGUCGAGAUAGGAUUCAUUCGACCCCUCGCCCAAGCCGGAGCCCAAGCCGGAGCCCGAGCUAUAGCAGACACAUGGAUUCAGCAGUCGUUUCAAGCAACGCCCGGCGCCGUGACCAGCCACACGGGCAUGACCUGGUGCGUGAUGGAGUUCCUAACUUGGUUGAUCAGGACAUGAUACGUCAAGAGGCUGAGCCGGCGGUUCAGCACGUGGCUGAGCACGCGGCUCAGCGGGCGGCUUACCAUCUUUUCUGGUUUAUCCGACGACUUCAAUUGAGGCAGGCGUGACCAUUAGGACUGGAGGUGUGCCCUGUUUGGUGCCGGCUCUGCGUAAUGAGCGUUUGCCCAAAGAUUUCAAAGGACCUCGAAAGGUGCCUAAUUACACGACCGUCUUACAACCGGGGGCAUGGAUCGAAAGCUUCGAGAUGGCCAUGGAACUUCUAGAAGUCAGCGACGCUGCAAUGGCCAAGUACUUCACCAUGAUGCUGGAUGGGACAACCCGUAUUUGGUUGAAGGGGCUCCCACCUAACUCCAACGGUUCAUGGGCAGAACUGAAGGCCUGGUUCAUUCAGAACUUUAAGGAUACAUGCAAGCAGCCCAUGUCGAUUUGUGGACUUGACUAAUUGCAAGCAAGACGAGGGUGAAUCCACGACCCAUUGGGUGCGCCGGGUCAAGGCCAUAAUACAUUCAUCUGAUAAGAUGGAGGCCGGCUCUGCAGUCCUAAUGUUGGAGAAAAAUUGCCAUUUUGAGCCUCUGAAAAAAAGCUGGGGCAGCUCAAGCGCGACUGUAAUGACAUGGGCCAGCUGAUGGCGGCUCUAGUCAAAUAUGCCGACUCUAAUAGUACCAAGGAUCCCGAGUCAAAUAAAUAGAAGGCAGGGAAGGGAAAGAAGAGCGGCAAUGCCAAGGGUCCUCAGCAUAACCCGGCAAAUCAAGGAGGCAAUAAUAAACGUAAGGCUGGUGGUAGCUCAGAGUUUGUGGCUAACACCAAUGCACAUGGCAACAAUCAACAACGUGAUGGGAGACCACCUCCACGGUCCGACGGGUCAGGUCCCAAUCUUGAGCAGUUGCUAAAUGAACCCUGUCCAAGGCAUGGUACUCAGCAGAAGCCAGCCACUUACGUGUGGAAGGAUUGUGCGAUCAUGAAGGCUUUCAAGAAUUCUAACAUGUUUGAUGACAAUCAUGGACCGGGCGGCGGCGGGUUUCAUGGCCCGGGUGGUGGUUCUAAUUCCAAUUUUCAAGGCCCUCAAGGUAAUCAGGGCGGUUAUAAUCAGCAAUCUUGCAGGGAGGUCAGCAGCAGCAGUCUGGAUAUCAGAGUAAUCCAAAGCAGCUGAAUAGUGGACAAUAUCAUGUGUUUACCACCAGCUUGUGCAAAUGGGACCACAAACUUCAUAAGAGGGUUGUGAAUACUACUCCACCUCACUAUGUACCAACACCACCAGGUCAUUACUCUAACCCUCAGGAGAACAUGAUCGCUGCGGCGACACGAUUGGCGGCUCUCCCGGUGGAUGGCGACUCUCCGGCGGCAGUUGAAACACGAAGGGUCAGAGAACUUCUUCAGACAGAUUUGGCGCAGCAGGAGGCAUACUCUUAUAGUCGAGAUAGGAUUCAUUCGACCCCUUGCCCAAGCCGGAUCCCGAGCUAUAGCAGACACAUGGAUUCAUCAGUCGUUUCAAGCAACGCCCGGCGCCGUGACCAGCCACACGGGCAUGACCCGGUGCGUGAUGGAGUUCCUAACUUGGUUGAUCAGGACAUGAUACGUCAAGAUGAUGAGCGGGCGGUUCAGCAGGCGGCUGAGCAGGCGGCUCAGCGGGCGGCUUACCAGUCUUUUCCCUAUUAUCCGACGACUUCAACUGAGGCAGGCGUGACCACUAGGAUUGGAGGUGUGCCCUGUUUGGUGCCGCCUCUGCGUAAUGAGCGUUUGCCCAAAGAUUUCAAAGGACCUCGAAAGGUGCCUAAUUACACGGCGACUUACAACCGGGGGCAUGGAUCAAAAGCUAUGAGAUGGCCAUGGAACUUCUGGAAGUCAGCAACACUGCAAUGGCCAAGUACUUCACCAUGAUGCUGGAUCGGACAGCCCGUACUUGGUUGAAGGGGCUCCCACCUAACUCCAUCGGUUCAUGGGCAGAAUUGAAGGCCCGGUUCAUUCAAAACUUUAAGGAUACAUGCAAGCAGCCCAUGUCGAUUUGUGGACUUGACUAAUUGCAAGCAAGACGAGGGUGAAUCCACGACCCAUUGGGUGCGCCGGGUCAAGGCCAUAAUACAUUCAUAUGAUAAGAUGGAGGCCGACUCUGCAGUCUUAAUGUUGGAGAAAAAUUGCCAUUUUGAGCCUCUGAAAAGAAGCUGGGGCAGCUCAAGUGCGACUUUAAUGACAUGGGCCAGCUGAUGGCGGCUCUAGUCAAACAUGCCGACUCUAAUAGUACCAAGGAUCCCGAGUCUGACGAAGAGAAGGCAGGGAAGGGAAAGAAGAGCGGCAACACCAAGGGUCCUCAGCAUAACCCAGCAAAUCAAGGAGGCAAUAAUAAACGUAAGGCUGGCGGUAGCUCGGAGUUUGUGGCUAACACCAAUGCACAGGGCAACAAUCAACAACGUGAGGGGAGACCACCUCCUCGGUCCGGCGGGUCAGGUCCCAAUCUUGAGCAGUUGCUAAAUGAACCCUGUCCAAGGCAUGGUACUCAGUAGAAGCUGGCCACUUACCUGUGGAAGGAUUGUGCGAUCAUGAAGGCUUUCAAGAAUUCUAACAUGUUUGAUGACAAUCAUGGACCGGGCGGAGGCUCAGGCGGCGGCGGGUUUCAUGGCCCGGGUGGUGGUUCUAAUUCCAAUUUUCAAGGCCCUUAAGGUAAUCAGGGCGAUUAUAAUCAGCAAUCUGGCGAGGGAGGUCAGCAACAGCAGUCUGGAUAUCAGAGUAAUCCAAAGCAGCAGAAUAGUGGACUAUCAUGUGUUUACCACCAGCUUGUGGAAAUGGGACCGGAAACUUCAUAAGAGGGUUGUGAACGCCGUUGAGCCGGCAGUUCCUCAUUACUUGAGAUGGUCUGAGCAGCCUAUUCUGUGGAGUAGGGAGGAGCACCCUCCCCGGGUUGGCAAUUCGGGUCACUUGGCCUUGGUGGUGGCACCUCAAGUUGGUGGAUAUAAAUUCACUAAAGUGCUCAUGGAUGGAGGCACUAGCAUCAACAUCCUUUAUUAUGAGACUUCCUGUCGCAUGGGUUUGACUGAUAAAAAUCUUAAGACGUCCAACAUUGUUUUCCAUGGAGUGGUGCCUGGUAAGUCGGUGUACCCAGUGGGUAAGAUUGAGCUGGAAGUGGCUUUUGGAGAUGAGCAUGAUUCCAGGGCCGUGAAGUUAACUUUUGAGGUGGUCAAAAUCAAAAGCCCGUACCACGCCCUGUUUGGACGGCCGGCUUAUGCAAAGUUCAUGGAGCGGCUGUGUUAUGUUUAUCUGCAGCUCAAGAUGCCGGGUCAUAAGGGUACUAUCACAGUGCAUGGGAGAGAUAGCCCUGUAAUGUGAAGAAGGCAAUGCUGCUUACGCUAAGUCUAUCUCUGCAACAGAGGAGUUGAAGUUUUAUAAGGACAAUGUUGACCCGGCGGACAUGACGUCUUUGAAGAAGCUGACCACGGAGCAUGAGCCGGUAAUGAAGUUUAAAUCGGCCGACGAUACCAAGCUGGUUGAUUUUGUUCCUGGCGACGCAUCUAAGCAGUUCAAUAUUAGUGCUAACCUGGAUCCCAAAUAGGAAAGCACGCUCAUCGAGUUCAUCUGUGAGAACCAGGACAUCUUUGCAUGGAAACCUUCUGACAUGCCAGGUGUACCGAGAGAACUCGUUGAGCACACUCUCAAUAUUGAUCCAAAAUUCAAGCCGGUCAAGCAGUUUCUUCAGCGGUUCAGUGAGGAGAGGCGUAAGGCCAUUGGUGAGGAAGUGGCCCGGCUCUUGGCGGUCGAGUUCAUUGUUGAAGUUUUUCAUCCAGAGUGGUUAGCUAACCCGGUGCUAGUGCUUAAGAAAAAUGGCACCUGGUGUAUGUGUGUGGAUUACACGGACUUAAACGAAGCUUAUCUGGCUAAUCCUUUUGCUCUCCCUCGUAUAGAUGAAAUCAUUGAUGCUACGGCGAGUUGUGAGCGUCUGAGCUUUUUGGAUGCUUAUUCUGAUUAUCAUCAGAUCAAGAUGGCAGUUAAGGACUAGGAGAAGACGACUUUUAUUACUCCUUUUGGAGCCUUCUACUGUGUGUCCAUGCCUUUCGGGUUCAAGAGUGCCCAGGCGACUUAUCAGCGAUGUGUGCAGAACUGUCUUCACAAUCAGAUUGGGUGCAAUGUUCAUGCUUAUGUGGACGACAUUGUGGUGAAGUCCAAAUAGAAGGAGACCCUGGUAGAUGAUUUGAAGGAAACCUUUGAUAAUCUCCGGGUCUACAAGAUGAUGCUUAACCCGGCCAAGUGCUUUUUUGGUGUGCCAGCAGGCAAGCUUUUGGGUUUUCCGGUUUCUAACAGAGGCAUUGAGGCUAACCUGGAGAAGAUCAAGGCCAUUACGUCUUUGGUUAAACCGGCAUGUAUCAAUGAUGUUCAGGGUUUGGCGGGUCGUAUUGCUGCCUUAAGCCGGUUAGGUGAGAAGGCCAUACUGUUGUAUCAGAUGAUGAAGAAAACAGACGACUUUGUCUGGAGUGAUGCUGCUAAUGCUGCAUUUGAAGAUUUGAAGAGACAACUGACAGAGCCACCGGUUCUUGCUGCUCCCAUUGAUAAGGAGCCAUUAUUGUUGUAUGUGGCUGCUAACACACGUGAUGUCAGUGUGGCCAUUGUGGUGGAGCACAAGGAGGCUGGCAAAGAAUAUCCGGUUCAACGGCCGGUUUACUACAUCAACGAGGUGCUUAUUGAGUCCAAGCAGAGAUAUCCGCAUUGGCAAAAGCUUGUUUAUGGGGUGUUCAUGGCCAACCGGAAGCUUAAGCAGUAUUUUCUGGGUCAUCCCAUCACUGUGGUUAGUUCAUCUCCUUUAGGAGAUAUCAUUCAAAACAGAGAAGCCACAGGACGAGUCGCCAAGUGGGCCAUUGAGCUUGGGCCUCAUGGUUUAAAGUAUGUGCCAUGCACUGAUAUCAAGUCUCAAACACUGGUGGACUUCAUGAAUGAUUGGACAGAGUUGCAGAUGCCUGAAGAGAAGCCGAACAACACAUAUUGGACUAUUCACUUUGAUGGGGCCAGGCAAUUGGAGGGCUCGGGGGCUGGAGUUGUUUUAGCUUCCCCUCAAGGUGACAAAUUUUGUUGUGUGCUAAGGUUGAUGUUUCCUUGUACUAACAAUGCAGCUGAGUAUGAGGCCUUGCUUCAUGGUCUUCGGAUGGCUAAGGAGAUGAGCUUAAGCCGAGUAAGGUGCUUUGGCGACUCAGAUUUGGUGGCUCAACAACUUUCAGGCAAGUGGGAUUCCAAGGAUCCCCUCAUGGCGGCUUAUCGCCGUGAAGUUGAUGCCAUUGCCGGGCACUUCAAGGGUUAUCAGGUGGAACACAUCGAUCAAAGAAAGAAUGAGGCAGCUGAUGCUUUAAGCCGGCUGGGAUCUCAGCGUAAGCCGGUGCCACCUAACACUUUCUUGGAUAUUCUGCAUAACCCUUCUGUUAAGUUACCUACAGAGGAAGACUUGGCUGUUCCUGACCCAAAAGCACAAUUGGUGGUGGCUCUUCACAUCAUCCCAGAUUGGACAGUACCAUAUUUGGCUUACAUGACCUGAGGCGAGUUGCCUGAGGAUGAAACCUUGGCUAGGCAGAUAACCCGGUGGUCUAAGUCAUUGACAAUUGCCAAUUGUGAGUUACAUCAUCGCAGUGUCACUGGGGCUUUUCAGCAUUGUGUCUCUCCUGAGGAAGGUCAAGAAAUUCUUCGUGAGAUUCAUGAAGGAGAUUGUGGCCAUCAUGCCGGUUCAAAGUCCCUUGUGGCCAAGGCUUUUCGUCAUGGAUUUUAUUGGCUGACGGCUCACCCUGAUGCGGAAGAUAUGGUCAGUAAAUGUGAUGGUUGUCAGAAAUUCUCACGACGAGCUCACGUGCCGGCUCAAGAAUUGAGGAUGAUUCCAAUUACUUGGCCGUUUGCAGUCUGGGGACUCGACAUGGUUGGGCCUUUCAAAAGGUCCAAAGAUAAAAAGACCCACCUCUUGGUGGCUGUUGACAAAUUCACAAAGUGGGUUGAGGCAGAGCCAGUUAGUAAGUGUGACGCAGCCACGACGGUUCAAUUCAUGAAAAAGGUGAUCUUUCGUUUUGGCUUUCCACAUAGCAUUAUAACUGAUAAUGGUACUAAUCUGUCCAAGGGUGCCAUGGAGGAGUUUUGUCAACGUGAGCAUAUUCGGCUUGAUGUUUCAUCAGUAGCUCACCCUCAAUCCAAUGGUCAAGCUAAAAGAGCCAAUCAGGAAAUCUUGAAAGGCAUCAAGCCCCGGCUUAUGGUUCCUUUGCAACGGACGCCGGGUUGUUGGGUGGAGGAGUUACCUUCUGUGAUAUGGAUCAUCAAUACUACCCCCAACAGGUCUAUGGGUUACACGCCUUUCUUCAUGGUUUACGGAGCAGAGGCAGUUCUACCUAGUGACAUCCGUCAUGACUCGCCUCGCGUGGCAGCUUACGUUGAAGCUGAUAAUGAACAAGUGCGUCAGGAUGCACUUGACCUGUUAGAUGAAAAGCGUGACUUGGCAGCAGCCCACUCAACGAUUUAUCAACAGGACCUGCGCCGCUAUCACAGCCGUCGGGUUAAGUCCAGAACCUUUCAAGAAGGUGACUUGGUGCUCCGACUCAUCCAGGAUCAAACUGAUGCGCACAAGUUAUCCCCACCUUGGGAAGGCCCCUUUGUGGUCAGCAAGAACUUGAACAAUGGGUCAUACUACCUUAUCGAUGUUCAGGAGCAGAAAGACUCACGUAAGUCGGAGUAGGAGACCCGCCGGCCAUGGAAUAUCACUCAUCUUCGGCCUUACUACACUUGAGCCACCGGCUAUCAUGAUGUACAUAUUUUGAUGAUGUAUAUAUAUUAUGAUAAGUAAUAAAGCAGGACCUCCAUCCUUUUCAUCCUCAAUGUUCAUGUGUCUUCAUCAUACUUCCAAAGACCAAUUGGGGGCUGAUCGUAUUCAAAUCUAGCUUAAACCCUCUUGGUCCGGCUCAUGAUCGUAUUCGAAUCAUAGCCGUUAAACCUCAUGAUCACUUGGGGGCUUCUUGUUCAAACAAAGGUCAUAUUUGAACCAGAACAUAGUUUUCGGUACCCUCUUGAUCGACACAAUGCCAAACCCACUAGGGGCUUCUUGAUCAUAUUCGAAUCAUAGCUUAACCCCUAUUAGGGUCUGACUUUGAUCGUAUUCGAAUCAGAGUCGUUAAAAACUCUCAAGGUCAUUAGGGGGCUUCCUGUUCAAACAUAGGUCGUACUCGAACCAAAGAGAACAUAGCUAUUGGUACCCUAUUGAUCGGUGCAACGCCAAAACCACUAGGGGGCUUCAUGAUCGUAUUCAAAUCUUAGCUUAACCCUUGUUGGUCCGAUUUACUGAUCGUAUUCGAAUCAGAAGCCUUGAUUUUUUCUGUUUCGGCAUAAGUUUUUUGAAAACAAUUUUUUUUGGUUCUGUCUUGAGACUUUUUUGUUCAGAUCUAAGUAUAUGUGUGUUCUAUUUAACUCGGCUUGGCUUUGGACGAUAGUUUGCCAGCAAAUGACAAUCAUCAAACAUUUGGAAGUGUUGGCUUUCAAAGAUUGGGUUAUCACCCUUACUGUUCAGGUCACAUAAACCGGCAGUGCAAUUUGAAAAUCAUAGGUAUGAUAUUAUAGUUGUGUUUCAAAGUUAUGAUUCAUAACAGGCUUAUCUGUAACUCCUUUUUUUUCCAUAUUAGUGGUUCUAUGUAACAAAUUAUGACCCGCCCUGUGGUAAGCCGCCAAGGGUUCUUGUGAUCUAUUUCUAUGUGCAGGACAGUUUAAGGACUUUCUCAUACAUAAGGAAAACAGAUGAUAAGUAUAAUAAGGGAGAAUAUAAGAUGGUGGCUUAACAGUGUUGAGCACCAAAACGUGCACGAUGGCACGGCAAAGCAAAGUCAUUACUACCCUAUUACAUGACUCCCCGAAUCCAAAUGAUUCAAUUGCUUUUCAAAAGGCUACAAAUAUGAGCCGCCCGGCGGAUCAAUUCUCUUAUUGGCCUGAAGCUUCCAGAUCAACCCUCUCCGCUCCUUCGUCCUGUUCCCUGUCCUGGAAGGUUGAUAAUGACCAGUCAAUGCCAUUCAAAGCUUCAAAUUCAGCUUCAUCAUCAAUUAGCCCGGCCGGGUCAACUUCAGGGGCGAAGGUAUGCUUACAGAUUGGGGGGAUCAGGCUUGUCACUUUAUAACGCGGCGUCGGCAUCCUCUGAUUCCCCGCGUCAUAACCCAGAUGGUACUUGGUGAGGUCCGCCUCAUCGGCAAUCAGGGUGGCCACAGGGUGCAUUUCCUUCACACAAGCAGUGAAGUCCUACUGUUCAAAUGGAGUGCCAUCCUCCUUAAGGCUUGGAUACCCAAUGGCGAUGUCGGCUGGGUCUAAUUCUGGUAGCCAAGCUUUGGCCCGGCUUAAGGCUGCCACGACUCUGGCUCUCGCAGACGAUCGCCUUAAUUCAUUGAAUCGCUGGGGCAGCACAUAAAGCUUCUUUAGCACAUCCACCAGGAGUGUGGGGACUUCAUUUGACAGGGCAACUGUGGCUAAGGCACGCUGAGAUCCAGUGUAAAGUUGUUCCACGAGCGUGUAAAUUGCCUUCAGUUUUAUCAGCAUGUCCUGAUUGAGUUUUGUGCUCCUGGGGCCUGCAUAGCAAUGGCAGAUGAGUUAAAACAACAAUUCAUAUGAUCAAUAGAAAGGUUCAACACUUGGCACUUGCAGGGCAACUUACCAAAGAUUGCCGAGACCAUCUGAGAUACAUGGCGUUUUAAGCUGGACAAUUUAGUGGUCACCUCUUCAAGAGUCGCCUCUGCUUUCUCAGCUCGAUGGGUUAAGGCGAUCUUUCCUCAGCACAUGCCUUUUUCUCCACUUCAAAGUCUGUUUUCUGUUUCUCUUGUUCAGACACACUGAAUUCAAAUUUGGAAUUGGCUCUUUGGGUUUCAGUCUCCUGUGCGUCCAGGCGGUUCUUCAAUUCAGACAGUUCUGAUUGAAGUUGAGUAGUGGUAGCCUGUACAAAUACCAGGUCAAAAUCAUGAAUAUUAGCAUACAAUAUUAAGUCCCAAGCCUUUUGCAAGCAACAACACUCGACACUAGGGGGCUAAUGUCUACCGAAGGAUUCUAUCUAAGUGGCGGUUCAUGAGGGUAAGUCCCAAGCACUUUGCAAGCAAGAGUACUCGGCACUUGGGGGCUAAUGCAUAUUGCUGUUAAACCUACACAAGUACUAUAUUCUACACAAGCAUGUGAAGGACCGGCUUAUUCAUGUUGAUUAAACCGGACCUUGGGGACUAUGGAUUAAGCCAGAUUUUUUUAUAGGUUUGACCAAAGGUUAUUACUGAUGCUUAUAAGUUUGUUCUAAGUCUACGGCAUAUUCAUCAUAAGCAAUAGACUUGGGGGCUGGCAUAGUAAGGAUAAUUCAACGAAGGGAAGAGUUUAUACCUCAAAUUUCUGGUGCAUUUGCUUCACCAUAUCAACUUCGAGGCCACGACUGUUGUGCACUUGGCUAAGAUAGCCAGAAAAAACUUCCCCAAUGCUCAUGUGAGUAUAAUCAGCAAAAUAAUCUGACCUUACGACGUUCCAGGUGUUCCUCCUUGGCAGAGCACUUGGCUAGCACAGUAGGUCUUCCCGGUUUAGUGUAACCGGUCUUGGUAAUUUCAACAUCAGCAUCUUGUGGGUCGUCUGUCUUGGCCGGGCUAGAGACUUCAGGGUUUACAGAGCCGUCGCCGACUUGAUCGGCAGGCGAGUCAGCGGUCGAUGUUGGCGUAUCAUGAGCCGGUUCAAGCGGCGGCUCAGGAACAGAGGCCUCAGGUGCGGCUGUCUAAAGUUCUGGCUCGUUGACGGUUGGCCCUUCGGUCGGCUUGUUCUUCUUCACCCUCUUGCCGGGCUUUGCUUUUCCGCUGCAUAAGAUCAAAAAGGUCAGUACAAAUAUAAAGAAUUAAAAUGAAUACAGGAUAAGUAAAUCAUCAUUACCCUGGAGCGGGCUUAAAAGCCGGCAUGUUGGACUGGAUUGAGUCGCCGGAGGAAGGUGAAGUUUCCUGAUAAUUUGAAUCAGAAGAGUUGAGUGGUUGACGAGUGAGACCCACCAAAGGAUAAAAAGGAUCUAAAUCGGAGGUGACCUCAUUCCGGCGCUUCCUUGGUGUGUUAGGUAAGCCAGAGGAGAGUUCCGCGUCCUUGCUGGUCUGGGUCUGCCUCCGGCUCUCAUGAAUCUGUCGCUUCAAAAGAAAUUGAGGAUCCUGAUAAGCUAAGGGAUGUGAAAAUCUUACUUUCCGGGUUACUCUUCAGAUUUUCUGUCUUGGCAAAGGCUCAGAGUCCAAGGAAAUAAUAGUUACCUCUUCGUCCACUCCGCGACUCGUUCCCGUGUCACCCUGAUGAUAAUCAGUGUCAAUAAGGUGGUUGAAAAAGGAGCCAAGAGAGUCAAGAGCUGCCUCCGACUCAGAGGAAUCUUCUAGUUGAAGCAAGUCAGAGGCGCUGGCCUUCUUUCCUUUCUUCUUGGCGGCGGCUUUCCUGGCAGCUCUCUAGGCCUUCCUGGCUCUCUUUGCAGCCUCAUGAUCAUACUUUUUCUUCCAAAAUUGGUCGUCAGCCUGUGAAAAUCAGCAAAGGUUUGGGUAAAGACAAAACAUCAAGGAUGAAGGUAAAUUUACUCAGUAUGGCGGCUUACCGCUGGAGCCGGGUUAGCUUUGCAGAAAGGGCUUAAGCCCACCUUGCCAUAAUCUGCUAGGCUUUCAUUCAAGAGUGACUUUGUCAUAUCAUCGAUGACAUCGUCAUGUAAAUCAUUAGGGAUGUGCCGCAGAGGAUCAUUCUUCUCGCCCGUGUAGGUGCACAUCAAAUCGGAGCGGCGACUCAACGAAAUGAUCCGCCAGGCAACCCAAACCCGGACCGAGUCAAUACCAUUUAAACCGUUCCCCAAAAGAGCCUUAACUUUAGCCAUGGUGGGGGCGAGUUUCUGGAGAUCAGCAGCUAACAGCUUGUUUGUAAGAGGAUGAUUAAACUCAAGGCACAGGGCGCGAAAGCCGGGUAGAGGGUUCUCAUCAGUUGGAGAAGUGUCGUGGCAAUAGAACCAUGUCUGGUUCCAAUCUUUGGGGUAACUUGGUGGAUUUGCAUAAGGGAAAAUGGCGUCUCUCCGUCGUUGGAUUGAGACCCCGCCGAGCUCCAAGCUAGGUCCGUUGGCACAUUCAUUCUGGUGGUUCAAAUAAAAUAACUCUCUGAAGAGUACCAAGUUGGGUUCUUCUUCAAGAUACACCUCGCAGAAUACUUGAAAGUUGCAAAAAUUAGACACAGAGUUGGGUCUGAUGUCUUGAGGAUGGAGGUCAAAAAAGUACAUGACGUCUCUGAAGAACUUUGAGCCGGGUGGUGAAAAGCCCCGGUUCAUGUGAUCAGUGAAGACAAUGACUUCUCCCUCUUUAGGCUGAGGCUUUUCCUCCGUUGGAUCAGGGGCACGGUACAACAUGACCUCCUUCUUUGGCAGAUAGCCGGUUUUCACAAAGUCAUCAAGGGUACUAUCCGUGACGAUGGAUUUGACACAGUUGCAUGAAGUGCUUGUUUUGGGCGGCAUUGUAGAAAAGGAGGCCUAACAAAGAGUAAAAAUGGCCGGGUCAAAUUUAAGCCGGAGGAAAAAGUGUUACAGCACAUGUUCAGAAUGACAGCUUAUGAAGGGGCCUAAUGGUAUAUGGCUAAAUUAUAUCUGGUUAUUUCAACCGCCAUGAGCAGUCAAGUUAUUUAAGCCGCCAUGAGCGGUUGGUGUUAUUUAUUGAGCAUUGCAAUAUAAGCAGGUGAUUUGAGCCGCCAUGGCUAGGUGGAUCUAUCAAAACACAGAUAUUUGGCUAAGUGUCACAUAAACAAGUUCCACAGAUUGUAGUCAUUAUUUUGGAUCAACGGAUGCUCAGAAAAAGGAAAUUAAUCUAGACCUAAAAAGCCCAAACAGAUGAGUUCGUAAGUUCUAAUGAGAUCUCUUUCCAGAGAAAGGGGAUCUACUGGUAUCAAAAGUGGAGGCAAAACAACCACCGCAUACGUUUUAUAUUUCUUUUGGAUCAAAAGAGGCUACGGUGGAGGAACUACGGAGAAAACAUGAAGAACACGACGGAUGGUCAGGAACCCUAAUGCGAUCUAUCGCGCUGAAGAAGAAGCACUUACAGGUGCAGACUCAACUGCGGUGGGGCGCUGGCGUAUUCUGGUCCAACUCAGGUUGAUGCAGCGGUCGAGGUUGACGAGGACGAGGUGCUCUGCGGCGGCGGUGGAGUUCGAGUGGUAGAAGGUUGUGAGAGGAAGAAAACGCAGGAACAAGGGAGAAUGAAGAAAGACCAGUCGUGCCUAUUUAUAAGGGAAAGACUGAUAAGUGGGCGCGGAAAACGAGGAGGCCGAAAAUAUGGUUAUCUAGAUACUAGGACGCCUUGAUUCUCGGGAUGGUCAUUAAGAUAAGGAUCCGUUGAGAUAUGUUGGACAAAGUGUGAAUUAAUGACAGAUGAUGUCAUGGCGAGUUAUCGUAAAUCCAGAAGAUGACGUGAUGGCGGGUUAUAUACUCUCGACAUUGAAGACCAAAAGAUUUUUGUAAGUGUUUAAGAUUGACAUGAAACAGUUCAAAUCAAUCUAGGGCCUAAUGUUGGGGAUAUAACUAUUAGGUAUGACCCGCCCAGGAGGGGCCGGGUUAUACCUAUGAUGAUUCAAGAUAUGAAGCCCAAGACGACACUUGAAGAUGGCGGUUCAAUUAAGGGCCCAAAGCCCAAAGGCGACUCAAGGCCCGUAGAGAUAAAACGCCAUAUGUAUGUAACUUGUAUUGUAAGGCAGGAAUAGACAGAGAUCGAGCCGGACACUGUUUAUGAGCUGGCCGGGACUCUGAGAGUCGCUGGGCGUCAACCUCUGUAUAUAAAGGGACGACCCGGCGGCGGUUCAGGGCAAGUAACAUCAGAUCGAGAACUAGGUCAAGCGGAUUCACUCCCUGGUAAUCGAGACAUAAGUAAUCCCACCUCAAAGUGGAUUAAGCCAUUACCUUCACCGUAAGGGGCCAAACCAGUAUAAACUCCUGUAUCCUUUGUCCCGUUUUAACCCCUUUAAAGCUUCCUAGUUGCGAUGGCUCCAUGACUAAGUCCUUUCACUAGGACAUCUGCCGUGACAAUUCCACGACAAAAUCCAUGCCUCUCUUGACAAAGUCGUGGCUCCCGCAAAAGCAAAAAAUACAUAUUUUUCGUGCAAAGAAGAAAAAUUGAAUUUUUUGUGUCCAAAACUUAAGAAAGAGCAAUGAAAACCCAAGAAAACAUCUAGAAAGUAGAAAAUGUGUGCGAAAAAAAGAAUGAAGUGGUGGCAGGUGAGAGCGCGCCAGGUGACCUUUGAGGAAGCUCCCAAACGAGCGCUCUUUAAUUAGUUGCUCACAUGGCUUCUGUCAUUGGCCCAAUGUGUUAAUGCAGGACCCUCAUACAAGAACGUAUGGACUUCAUAUCCGAGGAGCUGUUAGCGUUUGUUCUAGGGAGGCUUAUCACGAAUAAUGCUAUCUCAGCUUAUGAAUGUAUGUACUUUAUGAAGAGAAAUAGGUCAAAAAACAACACCUAUUGUGCCCUCAAGCUUGAAAUGAUGAAAGUCUAUGAUAGGGUAGAAUGGAGUUAUUUGGAAACAAUUAUGGGGAAACAGGGGUUUGCUGCACCAUGGAUAGCUAUUGUUAUGAAGAUGGUGAGCACAGUUUCUUUCUCUAUUAUGUUCAACGGAAGCAAAUCGGAGGAGUUUAAACCCACACGGGGUAUUCGCCAGGGAGAUCCUAUCUCUCCAUAUCUCUUCUUGUUGGCAGCAGAGGGGCUUUCAUGCCUUUUAAAUUCUCAGAAUCAGUCAUCCCAGCUCAGCGGCAUUAAGGUGGCACCAUCAGCUCCGCCCGUGAACCAUCUUUUAUUCGCGGAUGAUAGCCUGCUGUUUUUUAGGGCGAGUGUCAAUGGAGCAGAGAAGGUGUCACACCUCUUGAAUACGUGCAUGGCCUCGGGCUAGAGAAUUAACACAGAUAAAUCCUCAAUUUUCUUUAGUCGGGGGUGCCCACAAAUUGUUAGAGAUGUUGUCAAGGGUUGUUUGCAUGUCCGUAAUGGAUCUUUAAGUGCUAGAUAUUUGGGAAUUCCCACUAAUGUGGGGCACUCAAAAAGGGUACCUUUAAGCACUUGAGUGACCGGGUCUAGGACAAGGUGAAAGGGUGGAUGGGCAAAUGUUUAUCGGCUAGUGGCAAGGAAGUGCUCAUAAAGUCAGUAGCUCAAGCGAUCCUGGUUUACUCAAUGUCUUGCUUUAAGCUUCCGUGAGGUUUAUGUGAACAUAUUAAUUCCCUCAUUAGAAAAUUUUGGUGGGGAUGCAAACAAGGUGAAAGGAAACUUGCCUGGGUCUGAUGGGAAAUUAUGACAAGGCCCAAGUAUCUUGGAGGUGUUGGUUUGGGAGAUUUAGAACCUUUUAACCUUGCUCUGCUAGCACGACAGGCAUGGCAGAUUCUAAAGAACGCUUGCAUUUUAAAGGCUUCAUACUUCCCAGAUACGCCAUUCCUUCAUGCGGAACUUGGCACACGCCCAUCUCAGAUUUGGCGUGCAAUUCUGGAAGGAAGAGAUAUCAUGAAACAAGGAAUUAUAAGGCGCAUUGGCAAUGGACAUGCAACUCACAUCUGGGAUGACAAUUGGACCCCGAAGGAGGCUUCACUACGCCCUAUGGCCUAACUGGCCCCUAACCCACCUACUAUGGUGUCUGAACUCUUGUUGCCAGUGAUGGCGACAUGGAACGAAGAUCUUUUCCGAGCUACCUUCCUUCCGAUUGAUGCAAAAUCUAUUUUGAAGUUUCUUUUUUUUUUGAAACGGAGGCAAAGAUUGCCUCAUCUAUUAAUUAAGCAAAAGAGAAUUGCCCAGUUAAUUACGGAAAACUGGGCGAAAACCGGAACAACAAGGGCCAAGCCCACACCCCUAGAUUGAAACACAUUGGGCAAAGCCCACCCUAUUGGACAACAUGUCAACCUAAAGCCAGACAACGCAGCUCCGACUCUGACGGAGAACUUAGAAGAACAAAACCAGGCACGGUUAGCGCCACGAAGAUCACCGAACGGGCCACCUACAACCAGUCAUCGUACACCACAGGGCCCCGCCGCCGCAUCUUCGACUCCACAGCAACAAACAAACCGAGGCAAUACCAUGGACACUCCGGAGAAGAGCCGACUACCGCAACCAUUGCCACGUCGCCGACAUCGCUCCCACCAUCAUCAUUGCCACAGAAGUCUGGUCGCCAUAGUGAUUUUUCCGGGGCCGCCGCCCCAACAUCCGCCGCUCCGUCACGCCCAGCGCAAUCAACCGGCACCGCCUUCCGGGGCCGCCGCCCCGACAUACCACUGCUCCCCUCGAGCAGUAACGCCGCACAACCCAGCUGCCCGCAGCCCACACCGCUCAAGGCAACCGCUCGCAGACCAUGAACGUCUCACCACAUCCGGGGCCGCCGCCCCGACAUAACGUCAGACCGCCCCCUAUGGGGCGCAUCGACCGAGCCGACACCCCUACCGCCCAAGCGGGACAAGGAUGCCACCCAACCAAUGUGGAGAUAGAGCCCCACCUCAUAGAGCUGCCACUCGCAUUGUUCCCGAGAUCGCCAUCUCGACUGAAAGUGUGUUAUGUCGACUAGAGGGGGGGUGAAUAGGCGAUUUUUAUGAAUUCUUCACUGAGGAAUUUGCCGGUGAGGAAAUUCCUUAGUGAAGGACUAUUAGCAGCGGAAUAAGUACUCAGAAGUAAGCAUAACAGAAUACAAGCAUGGUCAUCAUGAUGAAAUGAAGACUAGCACAGAGUACAGAAAGCGUAAUCACAGGAUAACACAAGAUGAAGACAAACAAACUGAAGAAAUUGAACUGAGGAAAUUGAGAAAGUCUUCAGUCAAAGUCUUCAAACACAGAUAUGAACAAACACUCAACACAGUAAUGAGGAAAUGAAAGGGUUGAGGAAAUAGAACCAGUAGGUUGGUGAAGACAAUGAUUUGGUAGACCAGUUCCAACUGCUGUCUCAGUUGUACGUCUGGUUGGAGCGGCUGAGUAUUUAAACUCGAGACACACAGUCCCGGACACCCAGUCGCUGAGCACGCAGCUCAGGACACCCAGUCCUCACCGUAUUCUCCUUGAACUAAGGUCACGCAGACCUCGUCCAAUCACUCGUGGUAAGUCUUCAGGCGACUUCCAAACCUUCACAGACUUGGUCACUCGGCGAUCCACAAUUCCUCUUGGAUGCUCUAGACCUUGACGCCUAACCGUCUGGAAGAAGCACAGUCUUCAAAGGUAACAGGCGUCGGAUCCACGCAUGAUCAAUUUCUUCAGUGAUGCUCAAUCACUUUGGGUUUGUAGGGGUUUGGUUUUGGGUUUUCCUCACUUGAUGAUUUUCUCUCAAAGUCCUCGGAGGAUGGGUUGCUCUCAAAUGACAAGUGUCAAGUUCUCUCGGAGCAGCCAACCAGCUAGUGGUUGUAGGGGGCGGCUAUUUAUAGCCUAGGGAGCAGCCCGACAUGAUAAGACAUAAAUGCCCUUCAAUGAUAUGACCAUUAGGUGGAUAAGAUAUUUUGGGACAGCUGGCGCGCAGCACAGCAACGGUCGGAAAUUUGACUCUCAAAUUCCUCAGGGCUAUCAUGUUCCUCAUUGUGUAGGUAAUUCGUACCGACGAAUUCCUAACUCCUCAGUCAGAACAAAUUCAUCAGUGACCAGAAGAACUUCGUCUCUGUCACUGGAGAAAGUGACUGAACUGUAUGAGAUUUCCAAAGGCUUCACUCGAAGGGAUUGGUAGGUGUAGGAUUUUGAGUUGAGCAUCACAUGGAAAUUUUUCCUUAGUAUUUCCUCGACCCCCUUUAACAGUACGGUGUUUCCUAUGACUCAAGAAGGAGAAAAAGAAACUUCGAAAACAAAAGUCUUCAUGCUUCAUGUUCCACAAAUGAAUACCAAGUCUUCAAGGUCACACCAAUUUCUUCACUUUCAAAGUCUUCAGAAAGUCUUCAGAAUAUCAAAGUCUUCAGUUGAAGAACUUCAUUUUUAGGGGUCGACUUUCUCUGUAAAUAUCAAACUCCUCAUAGACUUAUAGACCUGUGUACACUCACAAACGCAUUAGUCCCUUAACCUAUAAGUCUUCAAUACACCAAAAUCACUAAGGGGCACUAGAUGCACUUACAAUCUCCCCCUUUUUGGUGAUUGAUGACAACAUAGGUUAAGUUUUCAACGGGGAUAAACAUAUGAAGUGAUUACACUGAUAUUGAGGAAUUUGAUUACAAGAUAUAGUAGAACUCCCCCUGAAGAUGUGCAUAGUGAGGAAUUUUCUUUUGAGGCAAUGCACAUUUGAAGAGUUGAAUCAUGGAGAUCUCCCCCAUAUCUUGUACUUCAUACACGCAUUUGAUAUAUAAUAUGAAGAAUUUGAAAUGCAUGAUGAAAUAUGGUGCCUGAUGUGAUUCAGCAUGCGUGCAAUGUCAUUAACGAGGAAUAAGCAUGCAAAGCAUAAUGCAACAAAAGUAUCGGCACACCAUCGGGUUUAAGAUUACAACUCGAUCCAAAUAAAAGUUUCAGAAGAACGGGAGUUGUAACUUAAAAAAAUGCCCUUAAUAUAGACCCGCUUGAAGACUAACUCAGAUUUCUCCCCCUUUGUCAUCAAAUGACCAAAAGGAUUGAAACUGAGGACUAACGCCCCUGAAGAAUUUCAAGUCGAUGGAGGAGCGCCAGCGUUGUCGGGGUUGUUUGUUGUAGCAGGGCCUGCCGCAGUGUCGUCCAAAUCUUCAUACUCAUCAGUGUCACGCGAUGAAGAAUAAGAGCUGGCCACUAAGGAAGGAACUUUGACCUUCUUGAAUUUCUUCGGUGGAGGGGCAGACCAGUCAAAUUCUUCCUUGAGACCCAUAUUCUUCAGAUCUGCAGCGCUGUAGACAUGAGAGAGAACAGCCCAGGUACGGUUGAAGGUUUCAUGGAGGUAGUAUUGGUUUUUCUUCACUGCAUUGUGUGUUGAGGUCAUGUUGUGAAGAAUUGAACCAAACUGACGCUUGACCCAUUUGUGAUUGCGAUCAACCUUCUGAUGAAGACUGAGGAGUAACUCACGGUCAGUCAUCACCCUGGGUGCUGUGGCUUGAGGAUUUUGCUUGGCUGAGGUAUUAGCGGCAGAGUCAUGUGUGGCAGAAUCGUCAUUGGUAGAGUAAGAGGUAGCCUUGCGAAAUUGACCAUCCAAUGGCGAAUGCCUUCAUCAAUCACAGCAGCGGCCUUGCCUUUAUCAUCAGCUGAUGAAACUGUCCGUUUGAGGACUUCAAUGGGAGGCAAGUAGCUACCGUGGUUCAGAGUGUCAGCUUUGUAAUUCAGUGAAGAUCUUGCCCUGAUGAAUCUCAUAAUCCAAGGAGCAUAGGGCUUCAGCUCGAAUGGUGACAUAGCAAUAUUGGCCAGAGUCCUCAUGAAGAAAUCAUGGAAGUUGACGGGAACGCCAUGAAUGAUGUUGAAAAGCAUAUUCUUCAUGAUGCCAAUGACUUCUUCAUCAUUUGAGUCGUGGCCUUUGAUAGGACUCAUUGUCUUCGUCAGAAUUCGAUAGAUAGUCCGAGGCACAUACAAUAAUUCCUUGACGAGGAAUUUGGUUCGUGGGGCCUGCCUUGGCUUCAAAGGCUUCAUCAGCACUUGCAUAUAAUGAUUUGAAAGUUCUGGUUCAUUGUAGAUACAACGAGCACCAUCAAGUGGAGGACUGAGUGGUAGAGCACGAAGCAAUUCAGUUGCUGGUGCCUUGUAGUGAGUAUUUUCAGAUAUCCAGUCUAAUACCCAUGAGUUCACGUCUUCAGCGUCUCCGGUGAUGUGCAGAGUUGCAUAGAAUUGAAGAAUGAGUUCUUCAUUCCAGUCACAGAUAUCAAUGCAGAAAUUUAGAAGUCCUGCAUCGUGAAGAACACUGAGGACUGGCUCAAAGCCGGGCAGAGACUCCAUGUCCACAUGAGGAAUAUGUGCAUGAUCGAAGACUUUGUCUUUGUUGAAGAGCACUGAGGAAUAGAAAUUGGCUUGGCUGGCAGUCCAGAACCGCCUCUUCCUUAUGCGAGCAGAAUCAUAUGGAUUAUAAUCAGUGAAGAAUACGUGCUAGGCAAAGAAAUCUUUAGCCUUGAACUUCUGUUUGCAUGAGAACGGAUUCUUUUGCUUUAGCAGAGGGGUGUCAGUGAGUUGCAUCACCACCUCAGGAAUUGUGAGCUCAGGUUCUUUCAGGCUGAGGAAUUUCUUGUUCCUCAACAGGUGCAGUCUGAGGAUCAACAACAGCAGGUUCAUCAGCACUAGUGGCUGGAAUUUCUUCAUGGACAGAUGACGUGGGAUGAGUUUCUUCAGAGCCCAUUUGAACAGUUUGUGCAGGGGACUGAGGUAUCUGUUGGAGUGGGGUGAAGAGUAGAGAAUUUGGAUGUUGACUUUCCCAAAAGUCACCGUUCAUCACUGGCGUUGUGCUUCCAAUAUCCACAUCUUCUUCAAGUUCCUCAACACCGGCCUCUUCAGCUGUGAACUGAGGCAUAGGCGAGGAAAUGAUUAGGGUUGAAGGGAUUGCUUCCACUUCAAUUUCUUCAUCAAUCUGCUCUGACGAAGCAGCAUAAUGAUUUUCUUCAUCAGAUCCGCUUGGGAUCUCAUAGUCUUCUCCAAAAGGAACAAGGUCCUUUGAUGGCAUGGAGGAAAUCGGAACAACAUCAAUUGGAUUUUCGAGCGAGCUGGUCGUUGGCUUCAUUUUCUUCAUAGCCGAAGAGUUUGACGCAGCUGAUGCCUUCCUUUUCUUCACUGCAGCUCGCUCUGCAGCCUUGGUCUUCUUCACAUCGAAUGCACAUAGAAGAAUUGGAGUUGGUGUAGGUGCAGAUGGAGCUGAGGAAUCUGGUUGAUUUUCUUCAGGCGCAACUGAUGCAGUUGCCCUGACUUCUUUAGUUUCUUCAGGCGCACCAUGCCCUGGCAAUUUCUUCAGCGGCUGGAAUGGGAUCAUCAGCCCUGGAACUAGCAUUUUCAUCAGCAGCCUGAACUUCAUCAGCGGUGCUGGCAUGUUCUUCAGUUGGCUGAGCUGAGACUCCAGCCUGAGGAAUUUCAUGUUGCAUUGGGGCAGCAACAUUGGUGAAUUUCUUCGUCAGGUUGAUGAAUCUGACUUUGGCUCCUUGCCAAUCAGCAUAGUAGGCAUCAAAGUCAUUGCCGAGGGCUUGAAUUUCAGACUUAGCCUGGAGAAGUUCCUCAGGUGUCAUUCUGACAACAUUUUUCUUCAGGAGCUUCUCCUUUCUGUAUUGAGCUUUCUUAAUCUCUCUUGCCUUUUCAAACUUCCAUUUCUCUUCAGUGAUGAAAUGGGUCAACAUAUGACUUUGUCCAGGGGUCAGAUGAAAAUCAGGCAUUGGGGUGUUUGGAUCCUUGUGCCAGAGAUCAAUAUAAUCGAGGAUUUUCCUUGGAUCCAACAGCAGUGGCACAGAUGUGCCUUUGGCCCUAGCGGCCUUCACCUGUCUGUCUCUGAUGAUUUCUGCAAGUUCAUCAUCAGAAGCUUCAUCAUCAGAAGGCACAUGGAAUGCUACCUGUUUCUUCUUUGGACUUGGCCGAGGACCUCGUCCAGCUGUUGCUUUGGUCUUCAGCAGAGUCGGGCCAGAUGAUGACUUUGGUGCAGCUGAGGAACUUGCUGAAACACCAGAGGCAAUCGAGAAACCAGCAGUCCUUUGACAUGUAGCCAGAUGCACACGAGCUGAGGACUUUGGUGGAGCAGUAGCAGUGUGAGGAAUUUGCCGUGGGGGCGCUGCUGAGGAACUUGGCCGUGAGGGCACUGUUGGUGAAGCACUUGGCUUACGAGCAGGCUUCUUUGGCAUGGAUUUCCUCGGUUUGACCGAGGCCUCAGUAGCAGUAGCAGUGGCAGAAUCCUCAUUGAAUUUCUUCACUGCCUCCUUGGCUUGUCUUGCCAAUUUUGCUUGGCGCUUAGCCCAUUCUUCAGGAAAGUCCUCACCACGUUUGAUGCUUGUGGGAUCAGCUACUUGGCCAGGUGCCAAUGGAGCUCUUGGGCAUGGAGGAUUGAGGGCGAAUUUCUUCAUGUACUUUGGAGUCACAUAUCUGUAUUCCCUCCAUUCCCUUGCCCAUCUCCGUUCAAUCUUCUAAAUGCGCACCUUGCGCUGAUUUUUGUUUUCUUUGCCAAAUUUUGCUUCAUCAGGUGUGCAGUAGUCAGCAUAAAUUUCCUCAGGGAUUUCAAACACAGUCAUAACCUCAGGUUUCUUUCCUCCUUUCUGCGGCUUCUUACCUUCUGCCAUAUUCUUCAGUUGAGGAAUUUGAACAAUUGAGUUCUCUGAAGAAGUAUGCAGUUUUUCUUCGAGGAACGCUGCAAAUGAGUUAAGUUGAUGAGAACCUAGUGAUUCAGCAGCAGACAUGAGUACCUGUGAACAGAGUACAGGUGCGAGGAAUUCGAAAGGUCAUAUGCGUUCUGAGAAGGUUUUUCAAAAAGAACAAGUUUUGAGAAAUUUGACCAGAUGAACCUUGAGGAAUUUCACUAAGCGUUCUUGUCUUAGGUUCCAGAGUUGUACAGAUCGAAGAUCCACACAAUUAGGGAAUCUUGAAGAAAAUGAUUGCUUAGAGAAACAGUUCAAGAUCAUAUGAUGUGUGUGGUGUUCAUAUGUGUGAAGAUUUGAAGAAUAAACACCUUUGAAGAUUUUCAGGAAAGCUUGAGAAUCAAAGCGAGUAAUAAAAGUAAAUUUUAAUUACCCGAAGUGAAGAACACGACGAACUGAGAAGAACAGAUGGGAAGUUCAUCAGGUUAGAUCUUCCUUGCCCUAACUCGGCGGAGGAAGACAGCUACGGCGGCGGCGGAGUGAAGAUUUCCGCGGUCGGCGUGAGUACGACGGCGACGAGGUCGAGGCAGCGAAGCUCUUCCUCACUGGCGACGAUGGAGUAGCGGCGGCGCUAGGGUUUGAGGAGCUCGAGUGAGAGAGUAGCGAUCGAGCGGAGUAAAUGAAGUGAGGAAGGGGAGAGGGGUAUUUAUAGACACGGUGAAAAACUGUUCGCCCAAAGAUUUGGGACGAACGUGCCCCUGCCCUUUCUCCUUCACGUGACAUGUGUCACCCACGUACUGUGUAGUGGAGAUCGUGUACGAUCGUGGGUGAAUAGAAUAAUGCAUCGUGGGAUGUGGAACAGUUUGAGCGGCAAAACUGAAAAUUUGGAUAAGAUUUGUUUUAAAGUUUCGUUCGCAAUUUCUUCAGCUGACAAGGACACAGUGAAGAUUUUGAACAAGUUUCAAAUAGAACGCAUAUGAAGAAUUUGUGAAUAGAUUGGGUUGAGUAUAGCAUAGAGGGGGAAGGGUCCGAUCACAUUCACUUAGCAAAAAAAACAACUUGAAGAAAUAGCUAUAAGUGAAUNNNNNNNNNNNNNNNNNNNNNNNNNNNNNNNNNNNNNNNNNNNNNNNNNNNNNNNNNNNNNNNNNNNNNNNNNNNNNNNNNNNNNNNNNNNNNNNNNNNNNNNNNNNNNNNNNNNNNNNNNNNNNNNNNNNNNNNNNNNNNNNNNNNNNNNNNNNNNNNNNNNNNNNNNNNNNNNNNNNNNNNNNNNNNNNNNNNNNNNNNNNNNNNNNNNNNNNNNNNAUAUAUAUAUAUAUAUAUAUAUAUAUAUAUAUAUAUAUAUAUAUAUAUAUAUAGCCAAUGAAGAAAAACGAAGGGAACAGUGAAGAUUUUGCAAAGUUGAAGAAUUUGAAAAUCUGAAGAAUUUCAAAACAAAAAAAACUCAAAUUGAAGAUUUUCAACUUUUUGUGGUGCGUGACCCACCGUAUAAGAAUGAUGAUUUCAGACACCGCGUACAAUUGUCGUAGGGUUCUGAGAAUCAAAUUCUUCAUUAAUUUCUUCACACUUAGAGUGUUAUUCUUCAUUGAUUGAAGAAAAACGUUUCUUCAUGUGUUGCACAUCUAAGUCAUCAAUUUUGCAUAAGUGUUAGGAUGUGUGUCCUUUUCAAAGAACAUUCGAAGAUUCUAAGAUAUUUAGCUCACACCGCAACUUGCUAAAUCUCUUCUCAUCCAAGGGCUUAGUGAAGAUAUAAGCUAGCUGUUCUUCAGUCUUCACGUGCUCGAUGGAGAUGUCGCCCUUCAACACAUGAUCACGAAGAAAAUGAUGACGAAUCUGAAUGUGCUUUGUCUUCGAGUGCUGAACUGGGUUGUGAGCAAUCUUGAUGGCACUCCCAUUGUCGCAGAGGAGAGGCACAUUCUUCACGUUGACGCCAUAGUCCUUGAGUGUUUGCUUCAUCCAAAGCAGUUGAGCACAGCAAGAGCCAUCAACAAUGUAUUCAACUUCCGCAGUAGACAGUGAUACGCAGUUCUGUUUCUUUGAGGACCAACAGACCAAAGAUCGUCCGAGGAAAUGACAAGUGCCAGAAGUUGACUUGCGGUCCACACGAUCACCAGCAUAGUCAGAGUCAGAAUAUCCAAUGAGAUCAAAAGCAGAGCCCUUGGGGUACCAUAAUCCUAGUGUUGGUGUGUGAGCUAGAUAUCGAAGAAUAUGCUUCACAGCCUUAUGGUGUGAUUCCUUUGGUGCAGCUUGAAAUCGGGCACACAUGCAAACACUAAGCAUUAUAUCUGGCCUAGAUGCACAUAAGUACAAUAAAGAACCAAUCAUGGAGCGGUAUACCUUGUGAUCGAAGUCAAUACCAUUUUCAUCAGUGCAUAGAUGGCCUUUUGUGGGCAUAGGAAUUUUGACGCCUUUGCAAUCUUGCAUGCCGAAUUUCCUCAGUACAUCUUUGAGGUAUUUCUCCUGAGAUAUGAAUAUGCCAUUGCGCUGUUGACGAAUUUGAAGACCUAAGAAGAAUUUCAACUCUCCCAUCAUAGACAUUUGAUAUUCUUCACUCAUCAUAUAGGCAAAUUCAUCACUAUAACGUUGGUCAGUACAGCCAAAGAUAAUAUCAUCAACAUAUAUUUGGCACACAAACAGUUCACCAUCAUAAGAUUUAGUAAAGAGAGUAGGGUCGAGUGAACUGGGUGUGAAGCCAUUCUUCACGAAGAAUUCCUUCAAUGUAUCAUACCACGCCCGAGGGGCUUGCUUGAGGCCAUAGAGGGCCUUAUUAAGUCUGAAGACUUUGUCAGGAUUCUUUGGAUCUUCAAAACCUGGGGGUUGAGCAACAUAUACUUCUUCCUCAAGCUUACCAUUGAGGAAUGCACUUUUCACAUCCAUUUGAUAUAAGAUGAUAUCAUGAUGAUUAGCAUAAGCAAGUAAUAUGCGAAUAGCCUCAAGUCUAGCAACAGGUGCAAAAGUUUCAUCGAAAUCAAUUCCUUCAACCUGUGUGUAGCCUUGAGCUACCAGUCGUGCCUUAUUCCUUACCACAAGGCCAUUUUCAUCUUGCUUGUUGCCGUAGAUCCACUUUGUGCCAAUGAUAUUAUGCUUGCGAGGAUCUGGACGUUUGACCAGUUCCCAGACAUUGUUGAGCUCGAACUGAUGUAAUUCUUCUUGCAUAGCCUGAAUCCACUCCGGCUCCAAAAAUGCUUCAUCUACCUUAGUGGGCUCUGGCGCUUCAAUGUCAUUGAUGAUCUUAUCAACUUGUACUUCUUUUGCAACGCGAGGAUGAGCUGGUUGUCGUCGAGGUAUUUGAUCAUUUUCCUCAGCACCAUUGUCUUCAGCAUUAUCUUCAGGUGCGUCAGCUCGACGUUCUUCGCGUACUGGAAUGAAUUCUUCAGCAAAUUCUUCAGUAGGAAUGACAUCCUCAGCUGCCUUGAACUUGAUAGAAUCCUCAGGUGCUGGUUCAUCUAACACAGAAGGUAGGUGCUCUCUUUGCGAGCCAUUAGUUUCAUCGAACCGCACAUCUACAGUUUCAACAAUCUUGUGAAGAGCGAUGUUGAAGACUCUGUAGGUGUGCGAGUCCUUUCCGUAACCAAGCAUAAAACCUUCAUGUGCUUUUGGUGCAAAUUUAGAAUUGUGGUGAGGAUCUCUAAUCCAACAUUUAGCACUGAAGACUUUGAAAUAACUCACAUUGGGUUUCUUGUCAGUGAGGAGUUCAUAGGUCGUCUUCUUGAAGAAUUUGUGAAGAUAUACUCUGUUGAUGAUGUGGCACGCAGUAUCAAUUGCAUUGAUCCAAAAACGAUGAGGCGUUUUGUAUUCAUCAAGCAUAGUGCGAGCCAUCUCAACAAGAGUUCUGUUCUUGCGCUCCACGACGCCAUUUUGUUGAGGAGUAUAAGGAGCAGAUAGCUCAUGAGUAAUACCAAGUUCAUUAAGAUAGUCAUCAAGACCGGAAUUCUUGAACUCAGUUCCAUUGUCACUUCUGAUGUGCUUGAUCUUCACACCAAAGUUAGUUGAAGCCCUCGAGGAAAAUCGUUUGAAGACUUCCUGCACUUCAUGUUUGUAAGUAACAAUGUGUACCCAUGUAUAUCGAGAGUAAUCAUCAACAAUGACAAAACCAUAUAGAGAUGCAACAUUAGAGACUGUUGAGUAAUGAUUAGGUCCGAAGAGGUCCAUGUGAAGCAAUUCGAAUGGACGAGUAGUGGUCAUGAUAGUCUUCGCUGGAUGCUUGGCCUUGGUCAUUUUUCCAGCUUCACAGGCUCCGCAUAAGUGAUCCUUGAGGAAUUUGACAUUCUCAAUGCCAAUGACAUGCUUCUUCUUCGCAAGCGUGUGCAAAUUCCUCAUGCCUGCGUGACCAAGUCGUCGAUGCCAUAGCCAGCCUUCUGAAGCUUUUGCAAGUAGACACACGGCUGGUUGUGGUCCUGUAGAGAAAUCAACAAUAUACAAAUCUCCUCUCCUAAAGCCUUCGAAGACUUUGGAAUUGUCAGCUUCCAUAAUCACAACACAACGAUACUUGCCAAAGACAACAACCAUAUCGAGAUCACAAAGCAUUGAGACUGACAUGAGGUUGUAUCCUAAGGACUCAACAAGCAUGACUUUGUCCAUGCGUUUAUCCUUAGAGAUCGCAACCUUACCAAGACCCAAUACCUGACUUUUGCCUUUGUCAGCAAAUAUGAUAUUCUUCAGAUGUGAUGGUGAUAAGGGAGCAUCCAUCAAAAGAUUCUUGUCACCAGUCAUGUGAUUUGUACAUCCACUAUCGAGGACCCAUUCAGUGGUUUUGGGUUGAUCAUCUUGCAGAUGAAUUAGUGUAACUUACAAUCUCAUAUGCUUCAUCAGUGAAGAAUAUGAUAUCAAGUUCAUCAGAUGAAUUUCAUCAAGAGGUAAACAGAUAUAGCAGUAUGAGGACGUGUGAAAUGAAAGUUCAUUUCAUCAUGGUUAGCCUGCGUCCUUUCAGGCAAUUUUGUGAGGUCCCUAGCAAAUUCUUCAGACGUUAGGGCACGUCUGGAGACCUGACCCUGCAUAAGAGAUUAGUUCUUUUUCUUCACCACCCACAUCUGAAGGGGUGGCAAAGAGUUCAUCAUUCUGCGAGCACCAUACGAGAAUGGUGGCAUAGAAGCCAAACCAUUUCGUGUCACAUAAGAGGGGUUAGGGUAAGCAUAUGAAUAAGCAGAGAAAUUCUUCGAGGACUUAUGAACAUAAUGAUUUGAAGAAUAAUGUGCAUAUUCGUAGCCCUUAGCUCUACCCUGCGAAACAGAGUUGUUAGCAUGAUGAUAAUCAUAUGAGGACUUUGAUCCAUUUGAGGAAUUUGAUCCACGUGAGGAAUUUGGUCCAUAUGAGGACUCGGAUCCAUAUGAAGAAUUAGGUCCAUAUGAAGAGUUUGUUCUGGGGUUCCUAUUCUUCACAGGUGGUGUCAUGAGGACAUUCACCUGAAGACCUUCAACAUAACUUUUGGGAACCCAGAUUUUCUUCAUAGGGGAACCGUUCCUGCAGUUAGUCCCAACAUAUCUAGCAAAUACUUCACCAUUCUGAUUUUUGAACAGUUUAUAGUUGGAGUCAAAUGACUCAUCAGAAGAAUGAGGAGAUUCACAUGUAAAGCCAGAUAACUUGGAUGGAUCAACUGGAGGUUCCUUUGCAGCAACCCAUGAGGUUUUGGGGUACUGCUCAGGCUUCCAAUAUGUUCCAUCAGCAUUAAGUUUCCUCUCAAAGGCAAUACCCUCUUUCCUAGGGUUUCUGUUGAGGAUCUGCUUUUUGAGCACAUCACAAAGAAUCUGAUGCCCUUUGAGGCUUUUGUACAUGCCUGUCAUGUACAGUUCCUUCAGCCCUGCAUCGUUAGUGAUACUAGCAAUGUCCUCAGAUGAGGAAUUAGUGAUAGCUGAGGCAGGUGAAGAAUUUGUAACAGUUGAAGCAUUUGAACAUUCAGGUGAAGAAUUAGUAGAUUCACGUUCAAUGCACUUUAAGCAUGGAGGAACAAAUUCUUCCUGAGAAGUGCUGAUUUGUUGAGCAAGUAAUGAAUCGCGCUCCUUUUGAAGAUCUUCAUAACUCACUCUUAGCUUCUCAAGAUCUUGCUUUCUUUGAAGAAAUUCAUAAGAAAGUUUCUCAUGAUCAGAUAAGAGAGUGUCAUGAUGACUUUGAAGGUUAUCAAACCUAGACUGAAGUCUCUGAAGAUUUUCAGUCAGGGCUUUAGUGCGAUCCAUUUCUUCACCCAACAUAUCAUCACUUUUGUCUAGGAUGUUUUGAACCUUUUCCAAGGCAUGUUGUUGUUUGGUGGCAAUGCAAACAAGUUUGGUAUAGCUAGGUUUAAUAUCAUCAUCAGAUUCAUCAUCAUCAGAUUCACAGUUACUAAAUUCAGAUGAGGAACAUUCGGUUACCUCGACACCCUUUGCCAUGAGACAUGAUGCAGAAGAUGAUGAUUCUGGUUCGAAAAUCAUCAUUUUGAGAGAUUCCUUGAAGUCCUCAAACCAAGGAUCAUGACGGGUUCGAUGACCUUCAUAGACGUCGGAGAUUCGGUCCCAGAUAAGCUUUGCAUUGCAAAGAUGCAUAAUGUGCCUGAAUUGAUCUCUGGAUAGGCAGGAACAGAUGAUAUCCUUCGCCAUGAAGUCAAGUCGAGUGUAUUUGCGAAUAUCAUCUGCGUUCGCUGACUUGCAUAGAUCAGUAAGACCAAUCUCAGUGACGGUCCACAGCUCGCUAUCCCUUGCCAUGAGGCGCUUCCUCAUCAUGGCCUUCCACUUGGGAUAAUCAUGACCGUCAAAGAUAGGGCAUGUCACUUUCUUCAUACCUGCGGUCGACAUAACUAAAACUCCAGGCGGUUAAACCAAAAUCACAAAGAACAAGGGAGUACCUUGCUCUGAUACCAAUUGAAAGUGCGUUAUGUCGACUAGAGGGGGGGUGAAUAGGCGAUUCUUAUGAAUUCUUCACCGUGGAAUUUGCCGGUGAGGAAAUUCCUUAGCGAAGGACUAUUAGCAGCAGAAUAAGUACUCAGAAGUAAGCAUAACAGAAUACAAGCAUGGUCAUCAUGAUGAAAUGAAGACUAGCACAGAGUACAGAAAGCGUAAUCACAGGAUAACACAAGUUGAAGACAAACAGACUGAAGAAAUUGAACUGAGGAAAUUGAGAAAGUCUUCAGUCAAAGUCUUCAAACACAGAUAUGAACAAACACUCAACACAGUAAUGAGGAAAUGAAAGGGUUGAGGAAAUAGAACCAGUAGGUUGGUGAAGACAAUGAUUUGGUAGACCAGUUCCAACUGCUGUCUCAGUUGUACGUCUGGUUGGAGCGGCUGAGUAUUUAAACUCGAGGACACAUAGUCCCGGACACCCAGUCGCUGAGCACGCAGCUCAGGACACCCAGUCCUCACCGUAUUCUCCUUGAACUAAGGUCAUGCAGACCUCGUCCAAUCACUCGUGGUAAGUCUUUAGGCGACUUCCAAACCUUCACAGACUUGGUCACUCGGCGAUCCACAAUUCCUCUUGGAUGCUCUAGACCUUGACGCCUAACCGUCUGGAAGAAGCAUAGUCUUCAAAGGUAACAGGCGUCGGAUCCACGCAGGAUCAAUUUCUUCAGUGAUGCUCAAACACUUUGGGUUUGUAGGGGUUUGGUUUUGGGUUUUCCUCACUUGAUGAUUUUCGCUCAAAGUCCUCGGAGGAUGGGUUGCUCUCAAAUGACAAGUGUCAAGUUCUCUCGGAGCAGCCAACUAGCUAGUGGUUGUAGGGGGCGGCUAUUUAUAGCCUAGGGAGCAGCCCGACAUGAUAAGACAUAAAUGCCCUUCAAUGAUAUGACCGUUAGGUGGAUAAGAUAUUUUGGGACAGCUGGCGCGCAGCACAGCAACGGUCGGAAAUUUGACUCUCAAAUUCCUCAGGGCUAUCAUGUUCCUCAUUGUGUAGGUAAUUCGUACUGACGAAUUCCUAACUCCUCAGUUAGAACAGAUUCAUUAGUGACCAGAAGAACUUUGUCUCUGUCACUGGAGAAAGUGACUGAACUGUAUGAGAUUUCCAAAGGCUUCACUCGAAGGGAUUGGUAGGUGUAGGAUUUUGAGUUGAGCAUCACAUGGAAAUUUUUCCUUAGUAUUUCCUCGACCCCCUUUAACAGUACGGUGUUUCCUGUGACUCAAGAAGGAGAAAAAGAAACUUCGAAAACAAAAGUCUUCACGCUUCAUGUUCCACAAAUGAAUACCAAGUCUUCAAGGUCACACCAAUUUCUUCACUUUCAAAGUCUUCAGAAAGUCUUCAGAAUAUCAAAGUCUUCAGUUGAAGAACUUCAUUUUUAGGGGUCGAAUUUCUCUGUAAAUAUCAAACUCCUCAUAGACUUAUAGACCUGUGUACACUCACAAACGCAUUAGUCCCUUAACCUAUAAGUCUUCAAUACACCAAAAUCACUAAGGGGCACUAGAUGCACUUACAUCGACGCACAAUGAGAAACCACCCGGAGCCGCCGCCCCGACGUCCACUGUCCCCGACGAUGAAGAGAUCCGUGCAAACUGCAGUAUGCUGACUCUCCAAGGCGAUGCCUCAAAGAAGGAAGCGACGUAGCCGCCGUCAUUGCCCAUUUCAACCAACUGAAACUAGGGAUUUCUCCCGGAGAGUCGUGUAAUGGAGCUUCACGACAACGCCUUCAAGAAAGAGAACGACACCAUGGCGCCGCCGUUGCCGGCACCGACCCAAAGUCAGUGCAGGACUUUCGCUCGAAGCUCCUCCACACCUCCGAAUCCGAGCGGAUCCGAAGCACUGCACACACACAAUCUCCAUGGUCGACGUCCACCGGUUCCACCUCAUGGUGCAGCUGCCGUCGCACCUCACACGCCCAACCCGGCCGUCACGACGACCCGCACCGUCGCCGCCCCGGCCUCCUCGAGCAGAGCACCACCACCCCAAAGAACAGAGCAGCUGGAGACCUCCUCCUCGCUGGACCUCGCAUUGCCACGCUGUCCCCAAAACCGCUGCAUGCCGCCGACCACCAAAGGUUGGAGCAGCCGGAACUCCUCCACGGCAGUCCCCCGCAAGGCCGACACCCGGGGCAGCCUCCGCGCCGCCGCCCUGCCAUCCACAUGGCCAGGAGCAACGCGCCCCCAAACAGAUCCGGGCACAAGGGCCCCGGAAUCACCGCCCACAGCACACUGCAGCCACCACCGGACCACCAUCCACCGGACCACCGGACCACAACAAAAUCUAUUUUGAAGUUUCUAGUGUGCACAAAAAAUAUUAAUGAUUUCUAGGCUUGGCACUCGGACAACAAGGGUCGUUUCACGGUUAGCUCAGCAUACAAGUUCAUGAUAACAACUAAGAUUCAGAGGGAGAACUGGUUGGAAGGUCGAAGUGAUUCAUCCAGUGGGGCGUGGGAAGAAAAAUCUUGGACUUCACUUUGGAAUUUGUCAGUCCCUUCAAAGGUAAAUGUGACGUCUGGAUAAUCAUGCUACAGUAAUCUCAUGUUAAUGGUGCCACGUCACCUCUGUCACUGUAGUUAAUCUCGGGUUAAUUCGAAACUGCUUCAAAAUUCAAACUCAAAUUAAUGUCAACAAUAAAAGUUUUCAAAAAUUGAAACAAAAAUGUUCGGUGGGUGCCGGGUAUUACAAGGGUAAUUAUAAUAAAGCAAACACAUUUUUGUAUAAUGCCUAAAUGAUUUAAAAUGAAAUAAAACAGAAAAGAAAAUAAAUAAAAGAAAAGAAAUUACAAAAAAAAGGAGAAAGCCCCCCCGGCCCCUUGGGCUUCAGCCCACCAGGCGGCCCGGCUGGUCACGCACCCAGCCAGCCCAGCUCCCUCCCCCGGCCCGCCGAACCCCUACAACCCCCUGGGGCGACCGGACCCUAACCCCCACGCGCCCCACUCCCCCACUCCCUCAUCUCUCCCUCUCCCCCCCGAUCCAGAUCGGAUCGGGGCUCANNNNNNNNNNNNNNNNNNNNNNNNNNNNNNNNNNNNNNNNNNNNNNNNNNNNNNNNNNNNNNNNNNNNNNNNNNNNNNNNNNNNNNNNNNNNNNNNNNNNNNNNNNNNNNNNNNNNNNNNNNNNNNNNNNNNNNNNNNNNNNNNNNNNNNNNNNNNNNNNNNNNNNNNNNNNNNNNNNNNNNNNNNNNNNNNNNNNNNNNNNNNNNNNNNNNNNNNNNNNNNNNNNNNNNNNNNNNNNNNNNNNNNNNNNNNNNNNNNNNNNNNNNNNNNNNNNNNNNNNNNNNNNNNNNNNNNNNNNNNNNNNNNNNNNNNNNNNNNNNNNNNCCGCCUGGACCUCGCCGGGGCUACCACGCUGGCCUGCCUCCUCGACUCAUCCUCGCCGGACCUCCCCGCGCCUCGUCGCCCAUCUUCGUCCUCCUCCACGAACGGAGCUCCUCCGCCUCGUCGCGCCUCGCCGACUCCACCCCACCGGCCUGCCUCCUCGACGCCGACGACGUCCCCGUUCCCCCCUCGACCCACGCUGCCACGGUCCCUACACACCCCCUGUGAGGCCCCCUCCUCCUCUCUUCCCCGCAUGCGCCCGCACCGGCCGCGCUCACCGCGGCCACCCGGCGNNNNNNNNNNNNNNNNNNNNNNNNNNNNNNNNNNNNNNNNNNNNNNNNNNNNNNNNNNNNNNNNNNNNNNNNNNNNNNNNNNNNNNNNNNNNNNNNNNNNNNNNNNNNNNNNNNNNNNNNNNNNNNNNNNNNNNNNNNNNNNNNNNNNNNNNNNNNNGCGAGCCCCCGACGCGGCCUCGUCCCCUGCUGCUCGCCUGCAACUGUUGUCGCUGUUGCUUGACUUGCUGCUGCCUACUAUCGAGCGCCUCCCCCUGCCGGUCCGCGACCACCCCUCCGCCGCCUCCCCUGGCCUUGGCCGCCGGUGUGCGCCGUGUGCGUGCCCAGCGCCCCUCGGGCAUGCGCCCGUUCGGGCCAUGCCCAUUAGCCACGCGCCCAACGCGCGUUAGGCUAGAUGGGCCACUGCCAUACAGGCCCCACCCCACAGAACGUUUAAAAAAAUAAUAAAAAUAAAAAUAAAAACAAAAUUAGUUAAUUAAUUAAUUAAAGAAUUAAUUAACUUAAUUAAUUUUGAUUAAUUAAACUUAUCGGAUAAUUAAACUAAUUAAACUGUUAGUCAAUUAAUUAAUUACUCAAUGACCAGUGGGGCCCACCUCCUAAUUAAUACUAAUUAGGUUAAUUAAAUUGUUUAAUUAAAAUGUGUCACUGACUAGUGGGACCCACUGGUCAGGUUGACCAGUCAACCCCCGUUGACUGCUGACGUCAGCAUGACACCAUGCUGAUGUCGUAAAUCCAUUUUCGAAUUAAUUUAAAUAAUUAAUUAAAUUCCAGAAAUUAAUAAAACCUUUAGAAAAUCAUAUCUUUUAAUCCAUAAUUCGGAUUAAAUUAUUUUCAACAUGAAAGUUGUUCAGAAUGACGAGACGAAUCCGGAUACGCAACCCAUUCGUCCGCCACACACCCCUAGCAUACCGAACACGCAACUUUCCCCCUCCGGUUCAUUUGUCCGAAAACACGGAACACCGGGGAUACUUUCACGGAUGUUUCCCCCCCUCACCGGUAUCACCUCAUACCGCGUUAGAACACGUCUAGCUCUGCUUGUUGUCCUGUUAUGCACUUGCUUGCUAUGUAUUUACUAUUUCUUCCCCCUCUUCUCUCCGGUAGACCCUGUGACGAUGCUGAUGCCCCUGUGGUCGACUACGUCACCGACGAACCCUCCUUGUCUGAGAAACCAGGCAAGCCCCCCCCCCUUGAUCACCAGAUAUCGCCUAUUCUCCUCUAUACUGCUUGCAUUAGAGUAGUGUAGCAUGUUACUGCUUUCCAUUAAUCCUAUUCUGAUGCAUAGCCUGACAUUGUUGCUACAUCUGUUCAUACCUUACCUGCAAUCCUAAAUACUUAGUAUAGGAUGCUAGUUUAUCAUCAUUGGCCCUACAUUCCUAUCAGUCUGCCUUGCUAUACUAUUGGGCCGUGAUCACUCGGGAGGUGAUCACGGGUAUAUACUAUACAUACAUACAUACUAUACAGAUGGUGACUAAAGUCGGGUCAGCUCGAUGAGUACCCGCAAGUGAUUCUGAUGAGGGGGCUAAAAGGACAGGUGGUACCAUCCCGGUAGUGGUGGGCCUGGGUUCCCGACGGCCCCCGACUGUUACUUUGUGGCGGAGCGACAGGGCAGGUUGAGAUCACCUAGGAGACAGGUGGGCCUGGCCCUGUUCGGCAUUCGCGGAUACUUAACACGCUUAACGAGAUCUUGGUAUUUGAUCUGAGUCUGGCUACUGGCCUAUACGCACUAACCAACUACGCGGGAAAGAUAUGGGCACUCGACGUCGUGGUAUCAACCGAAGCCUUCUAGACGUCAGCGACUGAGCUAAGCGCGCCGGAUUGGAACGUAAGCCUGCUCUUGUAUUAAGGGGGCUAGUUCUGCUUUUGGCCGCCCACGCAACGUGCAGGUGUGCUAUGGGCGAUGGGCCCAGACCCCUGCGCCAUAGGAGUUAGACCGGCGUGCUGACCUCUCUGUUAGGUCUAGGUGGGGCUGCGACGUGUUGAUCUUCCGAGGCCGGGCAUGACCCAGGAAAGUGUGUCCGGCCAAAUGGGAUCGAGCGUGUUGGGUUAUGUGGUGCACCCCUGCAGGGAAGUUAAUCUAUUCGAAUAGCCAUGAUCUUCGGUAACAGGACGACUUGGAGUUGUACCUUGACCUUAUGACAACUAGAAUCAGAUACUAAAUAAAACAGACCCUUCCAAGUGCCAGAUACAACCCGGUGAUCGCUCUCUAACAGGGCGACGAGGAGAGGAUCGCCGGGUAGGAUUAUGCUAUGCGAUGCUACUUAGAGGACUUCAGUCUACUCUCUUCUACAUGCGGCAAGACAGAGGCUGCCAGAAGCGUAGUCUUCGAUAGGACUAGCUAUCCCCCUCUUAUUCUGGCAUUCUGCAGUUCAGUCCACUGAUAUGGCCUCCUUACACAUAUACCCAUGCAUAUGUAGUGUAGUUCCUUGCUUGCGAGUACUUUGGAUGAGUACUCACGGUUGCUUUCUCCCCCCUUUUCCCCCUUUCCUUUCUUUCUGGUUGUCGCAACCAGAUGCUGGAGUCCAGGAGCCAGACGCCACCGU